AAAAUAAGAAUUUUAUUAAUUUUUAUAUCAAUUAUUAUUAAUAGUUUACAAGUUGAACUAUAUAUAUUAAUAACACCAAGUGAUUGGUGCUGUUAUGUUUUCGACUGUUGGAUGAAAAGAUGUGCGGUUAAGAUGCUAAUAAUUUCAUAGAGUUGAGUAGAUAAUUGAUUGAAUAGUACAAUCUAAUGGAUAAAAAUAAUUAAAAAGAUAAAUUUAAUGGUGAAAAACUCGAAAGCACCAAGCGUUUGGUGUCAUCGAUGGUAUAGUAGUUAGAAACUUUAGGUCACCAUUUGGUUCGGGGAUAAAAGGAGGAUUAAGGGGUUAACACCCGUUAUGAUCCCCCAGAAUUGGGGUGGGGUUAAGUUAAUCCCACCUCAAUUUAAUUUUUAAAUAUAAAUUUAAAAUUUUAAUUUUAAUUUUAAUUUUUAAAUUUAAAAAAUUAUAAUUUAUAAUCUUAAAAUUAAUAUUAUUAUUAUUUUUAAUUUUUAAAUUUUAAAUUUUAUUUUUAAUUAUUUAAAUUUUAAAUUUGACAUUUUAUAUUUGAAAUUUUAAAAAUGUAUAAUUUGCAAUCUUAAAAUUAAUAUUUAUUUUUUAAAAUUUUAAAUUUUAAAUUGUUAUUUUUUAAUUAUUUAAAUUUUUAAAUUUGAAAUUUAAAAAUAUAGAUUUUAAUUUUGAAUUUUUAAUUUUAAAAGUUAUCUAUUUAAAUUUAAAAUUUUAAAUAUAAAAUAAAAAAAUUAAAUUCAAAUAUAAUAAUUGGAACAAUAUUAUUAUUUUUUAUUUAUAAUUACCCACUAUUUUUUUAUUUCAUUUACUCCAAUCAAACUCUAUUUUGCUUAUAUCUGCACUAAAUCCAAUUCUCAACUAAACAUAAAAUUACUUUAACCCUUCCUUAACCCUAUUCCUAAAAUAACUAGUUCUUACUUAACCCCGAACCAAACGAAAGCCUGAGGUAAAAAGGAAAGUAAUAGCAAAAAUAUGAUAGGGAGUGAUCACCUUGCUUUCCUAGUAGCAAAUAAGGCAACAACGAAUCAUUAUAAUAAUAAUAGUUAUAUUAGGAGUCCGGCUACUAUACUAUCGGUAGCACAGGGGGUUCCGUACUACCAAGUUGUUUUUGAUGAUGCGGCUUCCAAAUCGACGAUCAGCUCCGUUAGACUUAAUCUACACUAUUAAAAGUAUUUAGAAACUAAAUUUCAUAAUUUUUCGAUAUCAUUUACCUAUCAAACAAGUAGUCUAAAAUUGAACGGCUGAAAAUAAAAAUCUCAUAAAAAAUGAUGAUAAAAGAUUUAAAUUCAAGAUCAGAUAUACUGAUCUUACUCUAAAUAGUGAAAAGAAUUUUCUAUAAAAUUUUCAUCGCAUUUGGAUUGUUUUACACCGUUAAACUCACAAACACACUACAUCGGCCAUUAAAAUUGUCAAUUUUGAGAUCUUUCGAUCACUAGUCAAAUAAUGUCGAAAAAAAUCUGAAAUUUAGUUUCCAAAUACUUUCAAUAGUACAGAUCAAGUCUAACGGGGCCGAUCGUCGAUUUGAAAACUGCAUCAUCGAAAACAACUUAGUAGCACGAAGAGCUCCAUGCUACCAAUAGCAUAGUAGCCUAGUUCCUUAUAAUAGUAAUAAUAAUAAUAGUAGUUGUAAUAAUAAAUAAAUGGUUAUAAUACUACUAUAACUAUAUAAACAUGCAGUGCAUCAUACUCUUUCCCAGGGCCAGGGCAUGUUGUACUACGCGUGAUCUCUCAUUCAUUCUCCUCUACACAAAAAAUAAUAAAUACCCCCCCCCACACAAUACUCUCUCUCUCUCUCCACCCCCAAAAACCCAUUACAAUUCACAACACAACCCCUCCCUCUUUCUCUCUCUAAAAACUCUCUAAUCUCUCUCUCUCUCUAAAACCUGCAUGCGUUAUUAAAUAUUGCUUGGAUUUGAAACGUCUCCACAAAUGGUAAGUAUGUAUAUAUAUUCUUUCUCCUACGUGCUACUACUUUUUUCUUUUUUUUCUUUAAUUUUAUGUGGUGUUUUGUGUGUGUUGUGGUUUUUUUUAUAUGUUGGGGCUACAGAAGCGGUAUUCGGUUCAACGGAAAACCGCUUUUUCCCUGGUUUUUUUUGUGACCGGGAAACCGCCGCGGUUUCGGCGAAACCCGGUGGGAAUGAUUCGGCGCGUUCACGCGUUUUUACUUUAGAGGAGUUUGAUAUUCCUACCCCAUAUUUAUAUAUAUAUAUAUAUAUAUUAUUUUUAUUAGUAUUUGGGGUGGGGGGUUUGAAUUAAAAAAGGUCACUAAUUUUUCCUUUUUUUUUUUUACCUGCAUUUUAUUUCAAUGCAAAAAAAAAAGUCAAUAAUUAUACAAAAAAAUAAAAGGUUAUUAGUAGUAAGUUUGUUUUGAUGAUGCUAGCAAGUAAAUUUAAAUUUUAUUUGUAAAGUUUGAUUUAAUUUCUUUUUUUUUCGAAAAAAAAAGAAUGUACAAAGACAGCUUGAACUUUUAUGUAUAAGCUUUUAAUUUUAAUAAUUAUAUCUCUUAAAUUACAUCAAAUGGUCUAAUAUAUUUCUUUUCUUAAUGGAAGUUAGUAAUUAUACAGCCAUCGAUUUUAAUAAAAAUAAAAUUAUCUAAAAGUAAAAAUAAUUUUUUUUAAUGUUUUGAAGUUUUGUAAUAAGAUUAUAUAUUAAACUAUAUAACCAAAAUAGCUAUGUAAUAAAUAAUUUUAAUUGAAUUGAAAGAAUUGUUAAAUUAUUUUAUUAAGUUUAGAGGACUUAAUUAUUAUUAUUAUUAUAGAUAUUAAAAGCAAAUUUAGUGUUCUUGUAUUUUUUUUUCUAUUUAUGAGAUAAAAAUAUAGGGGGUGAGAAUAUCAUCGUCGCGGGAAAUUCGAUGCGAGCGCACUUUUGUUCGCCGGCAACACACGUUGCAACUCACCAACACAUAUAUAAAUAUUUUUACAUAAAAAUAAACAUUUUAAUUAAUUUCUAAAUAUUAAUAAAAAUUUUUGUAUUUUUAUAAAAUAAUAUUUAUUUUUGUUAACAUAAUUAGAAAUGUUCUUAUUUUGAAUAUAUUAACUUUUACUAGAGAAUUAAUCAAGACCUAAAAAUAUAAUAUAUGUGAAAAUAUUAAAUGUUUAAAGUUAAAAGUAUAAGAACCAAAUUAUUAUGUGAAAAUAAAUUAAUCACUAUGCAUGAAUUAUCAUUAUUAUUAUUAAUAUUAUUAUUAUUAUUGUUUUCUUGUUCUUUUCAAGCAAUUAUUAUUAUUAUUAUUAUUAUUAUUAUUAUUAUUAUUUUGGCGACUUUUUUUUGUCGUAUUUUGUGGACAAAAAUUCUAGCUACGAUGGAGAACGACCUCCGUAAUGAAACGACUCUACCAAUCUAUCAUCCAUCACGUAAAUAGUAAGCGCGAAUCCCAAAGCAGGAUGGACGGUGGAACAGAGUGUUGUGGUAGAUAGCUGCCUUACGUGGCGUUUUGUGAUUGGCUUGGGUAUGUACGCAUGCGCAUACGUGGCGACGAACCAUUGGUCGAAAUGAGAAAAUUCGUACGUUGUUUUUUUGUGGAUUAUGGAUCGGUUGCGUAUUCUGCGGAGAUCACAAUGCAUAAAUCAUUAUUAUUAAUUAUUUUUAAAAAAUAUAUUUAUAUUAUAUUAUAUUAUAUUAUAUUUUAUUUUCAGGUCGUAAAUUACUAGAGUAUUCCGUACUUUUUGACAUCAGUGCUUUAGUAGGUAUGCAAGCGGAUCCGGGUCGGUAGAGCUCCCGUUCUGAUUCGUUUCGAAUGGAACAAUAAAUAAAAGUCAAAAAUAAAUAAAUAUUAAUUUUUGUAUCUCAAAUCCAUUCUAAUUUGCUAAGAAAGUGAAGCGGAACGCAAAAAAAUUCAUUUCCUCUUUUGAUCCUUUCUUAUGUGUCGAAAGUUUACUAUCUGUCUUGAAUGGAGCAAUAAAUAAAAGUAAAAAAAUAUAUAUAAUAAAAAUCAAAUCAAAAAUCAAAUCGUCCUGAAUCCGUUCCAAUCCGCUAAAAGGAAGGGCAAAAGGAGGAGACCUUUUCCGUUGUUUAUUUAUAUAGUCGUUGAAUUAAAAUUUUCCCAUUCUGCGUUAUUUGUUUGGUAACAAAUAAAUGACAAAGAAAUUGAAGGCGUAAAAGAUGAAUUAAUAUUUAACUUUUUUUUUCCCCGUAAUCGACUUCGGUUUGAGAUGGAUCGAAAUCAAUUACGCUAUUCUGGAGAGUUUAAGUUUCGACCGAGGAAAGUUAUGAUAAUGUAGACCAAACAGCGAAAGUGAGUAUUUACGACCGGAAACAAUUUCAAUCCUUUUCACUUUUUUGGCAAAACAAACAUACCUUAAUCAUGUGUGUUGUUCCCUUUUUUGAUACAGUUUUUGCCGUCUUGAUUCUACUUAUAUCUACUCGUGGAUAAAUAUAUAGUGCUUGAUAUGAUGUAUCUGGUCCGUAAGCUUAUUAUGGAGCAAAAUGGUUUAAGUUGUUUGAGAAAGCACUAACAGUUGUUUCGAGUCACAAAUUGAAUCUUCCGAGUUUAGAAGUUUAAUUCAAUCAACGUCCUAUCGGAAUAAUUAGCCAUUAGAUGAGUUCGGCUUAUAUGCUUUCGAAGGUACGAAGAACUUUUAUACUUUUAAGUUAUUUUAAUGGCGGGGCUUUCGAUUUGACCAUUAACUCUAUUAGAUUUGAUUUAAAGUAUUUGAAGUAUAUAAAAAAAAAUUAUAAUUUUUAAUAUUAUUUAUUUAAUGAUCAAAGGGCUAAAAUAAAAAUCUCUCGAAAAGUUAUGACACAAAUUUUGCAUCAAAUAUUGAUCUUGUUUUUUAUUGAAUAAAAUUACAACAUUAGAAAUUUUACAUGAUUUGAAUAUUUUUACACCACUAAAUUUAUGAACUUUAAACUCUUUCGAUCAGUAGAUAAAUGAUAUUAAAAAAUUAUUAUAAAUUUUAUUUUUUAGAUAUUUCAGAUACUCUAGAUUGAAUCUAAUGGAGCAAAUCGUCGAUUCAGUAAUCUCAUCAUCGAAAACACCGUGGUUUGGAAAUAUACUAGUUUGUUUCUGUUAAUUAGGGGAGCAGUUGCUCUGAACCAAACUUAGUAUAAUAUUGUAUCCCUAAACAUAGUGCAGAGGAGCAGUUGCAGAUUCAGGGAAUGAUGAUAUAUUAGUUUGGUCAGCGCAGAAGUUGAAUUGAAUUUUUGAUGAGGAGGAGAUCUGCACCUGUGCAGGUUGAGGAGGAGGAGGAGGCGGCGGCAGCUGUGGCGGCGGCGACAGACGAGGGGCUGACAGCAGUGCUGACGCCGCCGCUGGCGCUGGACGGCGACCGGCCGCCGAACGUGGUUCAGCGCGUGUUCAGCCUCUUCCGGAAUGUACGGCCAGGAUCUGAUCUCACCCAUUUCCAGGUAAAUAUACAUCUCUCUCUCUCUCUCUGCCUCUCUCUCUCUCUCUCUCUCUCUCUGUAGGUGGAAUUUGAAUUGGGGAUACUUUGGGGUACACUAAGGAGUACUCCUAGCAUUCUAUGUAAAAAUGAAAUAGGAGUAAAAGUUUAAAAAUUCUAGAGAACACGAGAACACAUAAUUAUUUUUAAGUUAAAAACGUAUAGAAAUUAUUCGAAAUAUGGGCUAUUUUGAAUCAGCGAUUCAAUUUUUUAAAAUUUUAAUUUUACUAUCUAACUUUUUAGUUUGUUUGAUCUGAUUCAAUCGACAACAAUAUUAUAAUUUUAAAAUUUAAGAUAGUUGCUUACUUUAAUGAAUUUAUAGUUGCGAGAGAAUUACAUGAAGUGUGCUAACUAAAUCUGUAAAAAUAAGCAAUUGCAUUAUUAAUAAGUUUACUUAAUGAACGGGGCCUACUGAACUAUUUGAUUAAUUUUAAGAAGUCUCUUUGUUAAAAUUGAAAAUUCAGACGCCUGGUUGCAAAAGAGCUAAAAGUCACGGAGUCUCCACAUAUCUUUUUUUUUGAAAUUAAUAGCACUUUUAAUAGGGGCAAAUCAGAUAUAUUAAAUUUGAUCGGAAUAUUUUAUCAGAAUCCAUCAGCAUGAAUGAUCAGAUUCAAUAAAUCUUUGUCGCUCAUUAACUGCGACAUUAAGCGGUAUGUAAUAACACGCUCUUUUAAUAGGAGCAUAUCAAAUCUAAUCAAAAUCUAUCAGUAACAAUUAUCAGAUACAAUAAAUCUCUUGUUGCUUAUUUAAUUGCCACAUGUCAGUAACACACCCUUACCCUUAGUACUCAAGAAACUUUUUUUUCCUAGUUUUUGCUAAGACAAGUGAUAGCAACUUGCAAGUGACUUAAAUGAAUGGAAUAGUCAUGUGAACAGAAUAAAGUAAGUUAGAAAGCCCAAAAAAAAAAAAAAAAAAAAAAAAAGAAAAGGUGUUUGAAUUUCUAUUAAUUUAGGAAAAAAAAAAUAAAGGUAGUGGGUGAAAAAAGCCCACAUGAUGCCCCUGUCCACUAGCAAAAUUGUCACAUCAAUAUUUGACCAUUAAUAAUAACCAUAAUUUGUAUUGAUCAAAAUAAAGACCAAAAGCUAGCUUUCAUGCUUUACCCUUUUUUUUUUUGGUUAAUUUCAGAUACCAUCAAUGUGGUUCGUUUUUUUCACUUUAGUAAUAUGUGAUUUAAAUGUAUCAAGUUAGUGUUCUGUAGUUUAAUUUUUAUCUUUUCAUCAGUUUCUUUUUAAUAUUUUGUUAAAUUAUAUACAAAAAACUUCAGAUAUUCUAUCUAGAUUUAUCAAAUAUUCACUUUAGUACCUCUAUAGUUUUAACUUUGUCACUAAUUUAAUAAAAAAAAUUAGUAAAAUCGAUAAUAAAAAAUAAAAAUAAAACCACAGGACACUAAAUUAAUACACUUUAAACCACAGAUACUAAAGUAACAAAAAUGUGAAACCACAUGGGUAUAUAAUUGAAGUUUUCUUUUUCUUUUAUUUCUAAAAGCCUCUCCUUGUGUUAGAGAACAUGAGCUCGGUACCGUUUGGUUCAGGUAUAAAGAAUUAGUUAUUACAGGGAUAGGUAUAAGUAUGGGGAUAAGAAAAAUAGUGUUUGGAUAAGAAUUGGGUUGUUUCCGGAAAUAAGGACAAUUUAGGUAGUUUUAUAUAGAAAAUGGAGGUGUUGGUAGGGAUAACCGAGAACUACUAUUCUCGGAUAAAAAAUUAGCGUUUGGAUAUAGGGGGGGGGAUAAGGGUCUAUUCCUAUCCCUAUCCCCUAACCAAACGCUAAGAAUUGAAGAGCAUAUGUGCCUUUCAUAGCUAUUAUUACUAGGGAUUGAGACCAUCUUUUUCCUAAUGAAUCUUGUGUAUUUUGUGGAAACAGGUGAAUUAGAGUUACACCAUUUACUCUUGUGGAAGUGAAGUUACCUUUACUAGCUUCGCAUGAAAAAAAAUAUAUCAAUAGCACCAAGGCCUCUGUGUUGUAGAAAUUUUCUUUUUGCUGAUGGAGCAUCCAAAUCGACGGUCUACACUACUUAUCAUGAUCCAGAAUAUUUGAACUUUCUAAAAAUCAAGUUUUAUAUUUUCUGAGAAUUAUUUUGAGAGUCCAAUUGAGAUACUAUUGAUAGCACCAAAGGCUUGGUGCUAUCGAAUUUUCCACCGUUAGAUUUAAUCCUUUGAUUAUUUUUAUCCGUUAGAUUAUACUAUUCAACCAACCACUCACUCAACCCUAGAGGAUCAACAUUAUCUUAACCGUAUAUUUCUCAAUCCAAGAACUAAAAAACUAAUAGCACAAAUAACUUGGUGCUAUUCAUAGUAUUCCAGCCUAGUUCUUAUUUUGAACUAGAAGACAUCUGACAAUUGUUGAAAUAAAGCAGUCUUGUUGUUUUUCCUCCAUCCCUUCAUUCCUUUGCUUUGCUCCAGUUCCCUUGCGAAACUUUCGUUAUUGGGUUAGUCAAAAUUUGCUUUUGAACCGAAUCGAAUUUACUUUGCAUGUCUCUGUCUUUGGUAAAAAUGUACAAAACUUAUGUCAAUUAUAGAUCCUUUCUGAUUCGGAUAUCCAAAAUUUUAAAAUUUUAAAAUUUUAAUUCUAGUACUCGACCUUCCAAUUUGUUUGGUUUCAAUAAUUUAAUAGCUUUCCGAUACAAAAUUUAAACUAAUUGCUUACAUUAGUAAAUUUAUAGCUACGUGACUUGUAUAAAGUAUACUAGAAAAUUCUCAUACCGAAUAAGUAAUCAUACAAUGUCUAAACUGUAACGUCUCAGACGAUUGAUCACCCAUCCCAGAGGCCACAACUUGGUUAGCUAUGGCACCCUAGCCCUAAAAAUCCAUUGAGUCUAGAUCCAACAGCCCAAAAUCGCAGAGCCCGAUUAUUAGAUCUUAGUUACCCAACCUUAUGUAUUCCAGAUCAUGUCCUUGGCUUUCCGAUGUAAAACUAAUCUUGUAACGACCCGACCCGCUAACACUAAUAACAUAUUUAUUAGUCCCAAUUUAUGUAUCACGGACAUUUCUAUAAACCUCGUGUGUCCGUGUCGGACACAUGUCCGAUGUGGACAUUUUUUGGACAAGCGGUUAAUACCGAUCCAUAGCACUUACAACUAAAAAAAAUAUAUACCUAUUUUUAGUUUAUUUUGUCUAUACAUGUAUGAUAUAAGAUGAUAAAUGUUUUAACUUUUAGAUGAAUGCAUAUAUUUCUUUUUGACAAUAUAAAUAAAUUAUGUAUGGUGGAGAAUUUUUUUUCUUAAAAUAUAUGAACUAUCAAUAAAAAUUUUACUAACUUUCACUUGUGUGAGAAAUAAAAUAAUAUUUUACCAAAAUUAAUAUUUUAUAUAUAAUAAAAAUAUAUUAUUAUAUUAAUAAUAUUAUAUUUUAUUAGCAGUGUCUAUACCGUGUCCGUGUUCUUAUUUUUAAAAGUUGUCGAGUCACGGUGUCCGAGUCGUAUCGUGUCCCGUAUCAGUGUCCGUGACACCUAGGUCCCAAAUCACUCCGCCAAAAAUACUCAAGCUUAGUCAUUAGUAUUAGGUUUUCUUGUCCUUAUAUUACCAAACAUAAUUUCAUCACCCAAUAUGAGAAAAUUGGGGCAUUACAAAAUUCAUCGCCUAGAUUAUGACCGAUGAUGUAGCACUUUAUCCCGUAGUCCUGUAUAGUAUUUCAUUUUUACACUUUCUUGCUGUAAUACCAAAUGGAACGAUCGAACCCGCUAACAUAACUUGUCGGACCGAAAUUAUUGGCCCAAUAUGUUUAAGCCCAGAUAUUAGUACUAGAAUUUCUAAUCCUUAUAUUCUCACACAUAAUCUCAUGAUCCGAUAUGGGAUGAUUGGGGCGUUACAAUUCUCUAACCUGGAGUGUCACACAAAUAGGGCCUAAGCAACAAUGAUAAAACUAAUUAACUUCAUCCCUAGAUGCCUUCAACUACAUAAAACUUGAAAACAAGAGGGAAAAAGAGAUGAGAAACAAAGAAAACAUUAAUAAUGCAGGCACUUAGCAUUACUAAACCUAUAGCAUAUUAUGAAAAUCAUACCAAGUUCAUCUUUACUCUCCUAGAAAAAGAAAGAAGAGAAAACUAAUGAAAAGUAUGAAAUGAAUUCCUUUUGCAAAUAAUGCAGCUACCUCCUCUCUUCAACAUGCCGAAGUCGCAGCUUCAGCUGUAUGGUGAAGGGGUUUACUGCAUUGGGGAGGACUAUCUUAGCAAGUGUGCUAAAGCGAAGAGCAGCCUCGAAAGAUUUACGUCGGUCGUCGCGUGGAGCAUAUCGACGACGAGGCCUGCGAUCUUCGGCUUAGCUCCGUUCAACCCGAUCCUCGGAGAAACUCAUCAUGUUUCAAAAGGAACCCUCAAUGUCCUACUUGAGCAGGUAAUCUUAAUAGAUUCAAUAUCUCAGCUUCAUGCCAUGAUUGUGAAGAAAAUUGAGAAGAAUAUUUUGCAUGGUAUUACAAAUGAACGUGAAAAAAGUAUAAAACACCAUUCUCGGAUCUUAAGCUCUCAGAGAGAAACUGUUACUUUCACAUGGUAUCAGAGAAAUAACAUAACACUAGUGUUGUUUCGAAUGCAUGUAUGUAAAAGUUGACAUGUGUAGUUAAGUAUGGUAUGAAAAAGACAUAAUCUAAUGCCCUUAUGACUUGAAAUUUGAAAAGAUCUCUGUAUUUAUAACUAAAUAAAUGAGCUUCAACUAUAUUAUUUUACACAUAUGUUUUGAAUAGGUUGCACAUCAUCCUCCAGUAUCUGCUCUCCAUGCAACUGAUCAAGAAGAGAAUAUACAGAUGGUAUGGUGCCACAACCCUGUCCCCAAGUUCCAUGGUAAAAGUUCCAAAACCCUAAUCACUACACUGUAGUUUUUUUAUUCCGAUCGACUUCGAAGGAACACUUAUAAGUUUUUGACUUGUAAUUCGCUUACAUAUCAGAAAUAAAAGUCUAGUCGAAGCCAUUUGUUUGAACACAAGAUUGAAACAAGAGCUUCCACUUUGUACUCAGAAAGUUAUCUCGCCUUACUGCCAUACCGAAAAACCCUAGACUUUUGUUAAGAGAAACAAACACUAAACAUGACAUUUCCAUGUCUUUGCAGGAACUAGUGUUGAAGCAGUUAUCCACGGAAAGAGGCAGCUAAGGCUUUUGAGCUUCGGCGAGAACUAUGAGAUGAAUUCACCGAACUUGUUAAUAAGAAUACUUCCUACACCUGCUGCUGAAUGGGCAGGAACUGUCAGAAUAAGCUGCAAAGAUUCAGGUCUAGAAGCCGAAAUGUGCUUCCACAGAAGCCAUUCUUUCUUAGGCUUCGGUGGGAAUUCGAGGGCCGUAAAGGGAAAGAUCUUCCACUCCAAGUCAUUAAAGACGAUAUAUGAAAUCGACGGCCUAUGGGACAGGUAUAUACUCAUCGUUCGACAAAGAGUUGUUACUUUUGUGAUUUUCCGAGUAAUACUCGCUAACCUAUGAUCUAAUAAAAUUGUGCAGAACUGUUUCAUUGAAGGAUGUUCACAGCGGAAAAUUUUCGGUACUUUAUGAUGCCGAGGAGGCGAUAUCAAAACUUAAGGCUCCGAUUGUAAAGGACCGAGAGGUACUUAUGAAGGAGAUCUGAUUUUAUUACCCAUUAUUAUUUCAGCACUAGUUAAACUCUGCAUGUUCAACCUAAAUUUUUGGAAUAGUUAUUGUACGCAGAAACUAUGCCAAGCAGCUAUAAUAGGUUUUUGAUGAAAAAGCUAUAUGUGCUUCUUCAAACAGUUCUGCUCAAAAGGCAAAAGAAACCCCAUAAUGAGCCUUGCAAUUCAUAUUUAGCUACAUAUUAGAAGAUUCUAAAACUUAUGAUUUGUUCCUGCUAUAAUAAAGAGAAAUAGUAGGAUGCUCAUAAAAAGUGCUUUUUUGGAACAGAGCUUAUUGCUAACUGAAUCAGCAGUGGUGUGGGGUGAAGUGAGCCAAGCCAUACUGAACAAGGAUUGGGAGAGAGCAUUCCAAGCAAAGAGGAGCAUAGAGGAGAGAGAAAGGAAGAAGCAGAGAGAGAGAAAGUCUAUGGGGGAAGUGUGGAUACCAAAGCACUUCUCCUUAUCCCACACAAAGGAAGGCCAGUGGGAGUGUUGGCCACUGAAACAAGCAGUCCCACCUGCUCCAAUUGUUGUCCCACCACAGGAUAAAAGAAUUUAGUUUAGACCAAGAAAAGUGAAUUCUCAUUUGGCUCUGAUGUAUUGAAUAUGUUGUCUUUGAUAAAGUGGAUGAUAGAGUUUAUUAUCACUGUGUAUACUGUGAAAUAAGUUAUUAUACAAGUUUAAUAUCUAGUGCUUCUUUCCAUUUAUCUUCUAAAGAGUAACACUAAGGUUUUUUUAGUUGCUUGCUGAUUUCAUGCAUGCAAGAUAAAUGACAAGUCUGGUCUGAUUUAAGCAGCCCUAUUCUGUUUCAGAAUGACUGCAUGUGGUUUCAGUUUUGUCUAAUGAAGAGAGGGAAUGUGAACUUUGGCACUGUUUAUUUGGGAAUAUUGAAUCAGAUACCAGGUCCUAAUCCAGUUGUUGUUGAUAGUCUCUGCCUUAUGGUGAUUAUCCUCUGGUGAGUUUGCUUCAGAACAACUGCAUCUUGAAGGCAGAAAAUAGCUGCCAGGCGAAAAUCGCCAAUGAUGGAGGAUGAUAUAGCCAUCAAAGAUGAGGGUAGUAACUUGUAACACGCCAAUAGUCCCACAUCGAAUUAAAAAAAAAAAAAAAAAAAAAAAAAAAAAAAAAAAAAAAUCUGAUUCGAAUAUAUGAGACUUCGCACCCGAAUAAUAAUAACUUGGUUUAAACAUUUUGAGCCCAAAACACUUGGUAUCAGAGCCGAAUACCAGUCAGAAGUAUAAGAUCUAAGUGUUAUGUGGAACAAAAGUGUCACACCAUGGAUUUGGUGGGAGCCACCUCUUGAACCCGUAGAAGCCAACCCGUAGAAGCCACCUCUAGCAUCUUACAUUACCUGAUAACUAGAAUCUUAAUCGCCUGAUAAUUCUGAUUUAUGAAUCCGUAUAAGCCACCUUUAGAAUCUUACAUCGUUUGAUAAUUCUGGUUUAUGUAUCUGUGACAAAAACAAAAGGGUCCAAAUAGAAAGAGCUUGUAACACCCCAAUCAUCCAGCCUCACAGUCUGGUAAUAGUAACAGAGCUUAAACAUUUUGGACCGAUAAUUUGGACCCAACAAGUUAUUAUUGCUGGAGAGUCGGAUCGUUACAUAAUUAGAUCCUGUGUGGAUUUCCACAGUCCAAAAUGCACUAAUCUCUGAUUCUCAGCAGUAAGAUCACUGGGAUCUCAACUCUCAUGAGAAAACCUACAAUUGGCAAAACAAAAGCACUGUAGGAUGGGAGUAAGAUGCACUUAAUUUGCCCAUUCUUUGGUAGUACUCUUAACUUAACUCAAUAAAUACUAAGCUAUAUAAAUACACGUACAAAUGUACGUAGGGAUGCUUUAAUCUUUCAUUGUAUUGAAUAUAUUGAAUAAAAAAAAAUACUAACUAUGAUACAGUGGAUCUGAACCCUGUUGAUCCAAGUGAAAUUAUGAUUAAAAGAAGGGAAAAUGAGAAUAGGUAGCUAGCUAUAUUGGUAUGCACUUAAAAAACACUACUACUUUUACCAUUAUGCAAUUCAACCCUGUUCUAUAAAUUGAACUACUGCCAAAAAAAAUAUCUGAUUUAUUAAAAAAAUUAAAUUAACUGUGCUAAAUAUAAGUAAAGUAAAAGUGGAAAGUGCUGCUAAUUAUUCUGUCUUUAUCUCAUUCAUAGAAAGCAGAUUUAAUCGUGAAUCUUUGGUACCCAAUCUGAUCGUAAUAUCGUAACUAUAGAAUGGAAGUGCAUCAAUUUGUAUACUGUAUAAUGGUAUUAGUAAAGGAAAAGGCUAAACCCUGACGCAUUGUUACCAGUCGCAAGGCUCUGUUACCUUUGCAGCUACAAAAAAUAUUAGCAAAACCAAUAACUAGGGUAAAAUGCAUGACAGUCCCUGUGAUUUCAAGGCAGGACCACUAAACCCUAAACUCUUCAACUGAGAGAACCAGUCCAUGAUCGUUAUUAUAUUAAGCAAUAGCAUUUCUGAAGCCAUUAACUAUACAAAAUCUUUAACGUUCAUUUUACCUAGUAAAGGGAUCAUUUUACCCUUUACUGUAAAAUGAAUUCUCUAACCUAGCAGAUCUCAGAUUUUUUUUUUUUUACCACAUAUGCUAAGAACGCAAUUGUGAAAUAUAGAAAACUCAGUGAUACUGUUUAAGUGAAAAUUUGAGGACUAAGUGGCAAUGCCGGGAAAGUACAAGAAUGGUAAUAUAAGAUUUUAGAUAUAAAAGUAAAAGGUCGGUGCUUGGAUCGUAGUGUCACAUAUUUUUAAAUACCAUAGUACCUAUCCUACUUGUACAAGUAUAGCUAAACAUACAAAAGAGGACUUAUACAGCUUUUAUUUGUACAAUACUACAAAAAAUAGCAACAACAUGCUAUUAGAAAAGAGAUUUCACAAAGUGAGAAACUUAGUUAUUACUUACCUAUUGCAGCUCACAGCGGAGUGAAAUCUUAGUUAUCACUUUACCUAUUGAAGCCCAUUGCGACUACCGGGAUCCUCACCUGGUGGCCUCUAUCGCCUUUCAUGAGGAUCUCACCAAAGCUGUACGUGCCCGUGACAGACCUGACAGUUAGGGUUACUGUUAACUCCCGUGAUGCUCCUGAGAGCACUGUCAUUGCCUGAGGGCUGACCUCCAAUGCAAUUUCCGGGGGCAUUCUGGUGGUGAUUGUAUAGGUUUCGAUCUCAUCAGCCACAUUGGUCAGCAUCCGCUUUACUGUUUGAGUGCCUUCGAGAUGAGAAAUUGUGAUCGAUGGAGUGUUGAGAUCGGAUGGAUGGGUUUUCGUGGUGUUGCAACUGGAGCCCGUGAUGUUUGAGAUUUCAUGGUGAUCGAUGCCCGGUAUGGAGCAUAAGAAAGAGAUGUAGUCUUCAUGAGCUGUAAAAAAUAUAUGUAUGUGUAUAAAUCAUUUUAAGAUGAAGAUGCAUUGCCGAUUGCAUUUGUUCCAGGAAUGAAUAGAACAGAAGUUUUUCAAUAGUUUCUUACAAAAAGAUGACAUAGCACACAAUGGCAAAAACCCACUAAAAAUUCGCAAAAGAGCAUUAAACUGGACUUGAAAAAAUACGCUAGCUCUGAUCCUAACCAAGAAAUGGAAAAGAACAGAAGUAUUCAUUCAGAAACCAAGAGAAUGCAUGCUAAAGCCUUCAAGCCAUAAAAAAGCAUAACAUUGAAACGAGUACAACUUUAUUUAACCUGAUAAAGGAAAAAGUAGAUCUUAGUAAAACUAGCCAUAAUUUGUUGAUAAAUACUGAAAAAAGGAGGAAAACACAAGCCAUAUGCCAGUAAACGAAAGAAAAUUUAGGGUCCUUUGUUCUUCAUUUGAUAAGAAGAUAUUAUCAUUGUAAUUUCUUAUCUUCAGUUUAGAGGAUUAGAAGGCUUACCUGCAUCAAGAAUGAGCCCAGGUUCAAGUGCAGCCUUCGGAUUAACAGCACCGCUUCCAUAAUCAAAUGGUGUAGCCCGCACAAGCGUCAUGAUCUCUUCUCCAGCAUAUUGCUGAGCUCUAAUAGGCCUUCCCCCUUUAUCCAGCAUUGUGGCUGUAGUCAUCAAUGCAGAUUUUAUAGCAGCUGGACUCCACUUAGGGUUCUUUUGCUUUAUCAGUGCAGCAAUACCCGCUAUAUGGGGAGCAGCCAUACUGGUUCCAGAUAUCAUUGCAAAUCCUUCUCCUGCAGAGGGCAAACGUGAAUUCAAUAUAGUGAUCCAAGAUUCUGAUUCAAAUGCAGGGGUAUCAAUUAAAAGAAUUAAAGUUCCGGGCCUGUUUCAAAAUGGUCUACAGCCAGGAGAGCCCAAAUACAUUUUUCCCUAUUCAGAAACAACUAUAUUUUGUAGCAUCAAGCAAUUGUAUCACCUUAGAUUGUGUAACUUAUAACAUACCAAGAGAUCAAGAUACAAGCAAAAAGAACAGGAAAUAUCAUACAAGUCAUUUAGGAUUACCUAAUUACUCCCUGAAAUUUGACUUUGAUUCCAAUUUUUUUCACAUAGUUUCGAUUGAAAAGGUUGAGGCCCUGAAGUUUGUUGCUAUCACAAUUAAGUUUUCUAUAGUCUUAAGAUCAAAGGAAAACAACGUGAGCACCAGCAAUGGAAUUAGCUUUAUUAGAAGUGCAACUCUGAGGACAAAAUCACAAUAUGCGUGAAACAUCAGGGAUUUAAUUGUUAAGAAUUGAAACUGGCGGGGUGAAAGCUAAGUCAGGGUCAACAGGAGGGACUAAAUUGUUAAUGAAAACAUUGUGGACAAAAUUGAAAUCAAGAUCGAACUUCAGGACUAAAUUUGUAAUAACACAAUCUUUGAUCAGAUCAUAAUACCAAAUCGUAAGAACGGCCAUAGUUACAGAAUCUGCUAAAAUUACUCUAAACAAGUGUUGGCUCAAUUUAGGUGAUUAAAGCAACUAAACUUAGAGAGCAUUUAUUAAUUAGAUUCCCAAGACCUUAAUUCAGUAUACACCAAUUGCCUAGAAGGCAAAGCAAGCAUAUGGUACCCGAAAUUUCUACAUGUACAACUUCACCCACAAGGAAAAAAGAAAAUUAAUAAAUAAAAGUAUUGCUGGCACGCUAAUUUUGCUUGAUAUUUAUCUUACCAACAUAAUUGGCUUCGUCUGUUCCAUUGGGAGCCCAAGCAGCCCAAAUGAGAUUGCCUGGGGCUAGUAUAUCAGGUUUGAGGACAUCGGCAUCUUGAAAACUGAAGUCUUUUACACCUGGUCCUCUGGAGGAAAACAGAGCAACCUGGGGGGCUGAAUUGUAAAGUGUAGGUGCCAAACCAUUGGCAAUACUACCUGUUGCUUCAAACCUUACAGGACGCCCUGCCCAGUCUCUUUUCGUUGAACAGUUGUAGUAAUCUAUAAGCUCCUGUAACCAAUAAAUUAAUAAAGAACUUACUAGAACUUAAAAAUGUCAUUCUUAUAAAAGACAUGGAUAUGAAUAUUGAUAUGCAGAAAACCUUCAUCAUGAUAACUCAACCAGGACAUUAGAUUAUGUGAUGAAAUACAAUAUUCAUGAGGAUUUAUAGUGAAAAGCUGUUGGUUGAGGAUGCAGGAUACUCAUCAGUCAUUGUAAGCUAGGACAGUAGGAAAAAGAAAAGGAUGGCGAGCCUGAAAGAAAACAAGAAAUAGCGGAUUCAUAGAGUUUAGAAACUCUAUAUUUGCUUUCACAGAACACCAUAUCCACCUAAGAGGCAGUUUAAAUAAUCCCGUGAUAGAAAUUCAAUAAUGGCAAAUUCACUAAGCAGUAUUCCUUGGUGGAUGUGUGACAACUAUGCAAGUAAAUCAGAUUCAAAGAAUUGUAAAUGUUUCAGAAAAUGCCUUUGCCCAGCUGUUUCUAAGUAUCGAUAUUCUCACAAUUCUGCCCAACAAUUCAGCAUUAAACCAACACAAGUUACUGAUUAAAAUAACAGCAAACAUAAAACACUUAGAUAAUUGCUUAGAACCUUUGUUUUGCUGACAUCGGUGAUAAGAAUCCCAGGAACACUGACAGGAACAGGGUCAAACUUUGUUCCUGGAUAAUUAUUCUCCACGGCAACAAUAAAGCCAGCCGCACCAAGACUUUUAGCUGUGUCAGACACCUUUGAGAUCGAUGCCGUACCAGAUAUGAAAUUGAAGGAAUAUCCACACAGAAGAAUAUUCCCCUCCACCAACUUCUUAUUCAAAAGCUCUGGCUUUUGGCAGUCCAAUGGGUUGUAUUUUACAACAGAGGAACCUAGCAGCACAUCACUUGCGGAAACCAGGUUGAAUGACUUAUUCCCAUGUGUAGCAGCUGUAGUUGGAGAAUGAAAAAGAUAAAUCCAUUACUUCUCAAGAAUAUUAGCAUCAUAGUAAGGCUAUUAGUAAACAAAAUAACUCUCAGGCAAUAGAAACUAGAACAUGCAUUUGCUUGCAACACAGAGGGAGAAACAACUGUAUGCAAAUAGAAGGAACAACUCAAGUAAAAUGUUUCAUCUUACACUGAACCUUGGCCUAUUAUGCAAUGCAACUUAUCUACAUAAGCACCCUAACCUAUAUAAGUAGAUUAGUUAGAAGACGCAGAAAGUGAAAAAAAAAAAAAAAAAAAACUUACGUGAUAGCCCUAGCCCAGGUAGUAUCUGUCCAUUUCCCAGUGUCAAGUGAUUCUUGUAUCUACGAUCAUCCACCGCAGCAGCUACAGUCAUAAUCCAUGGGCUGAAAGAGACCAAGGUUUUAGGAAAGGGGCCUCCAUUUCCAGCUGCUUGGACAACAAACACUCCUGCUUUUACAGCCGAAAGAAGAGCUGCAUCAAAGGGAUUCAGAAAAGUGGUCCUUGUAGCUGUCGGUGGGCUAUUCGGCCCGACAGAUAGAUUAAGUACGUCGACACCAUCACGAACAGCCUGUUUUUUUACCACUCAUCAAUCAUCAUCCAUAUAUAUAUUACAAGUUUCACAAGGCUGUUUAAUUUAAAGUGAGGCUCUGCAUUCAGUCUACAGGAAGGAGAAACAUAAAGAAAAAUCAAUAGCUAAAGUCAAGAGAAACAAGCAUCAGUGACAUAUUUUUCUAGUCUAUUCAAACAUUAUUGGCUUAUAAUCAUCCAUGUCUUACAGAGCUGUCCAUGCCUGCCCGAGCGUCUGUCUCAAAUUAUUGCUUUGGUUUUCAAUAUAUAGAUUGGAACACUUAACCAUUGACAAACUAGUGGAUCACACUCAAGCAAUGUAUUGUUAACCAUAACAGCAUAUAUUAAAUUGGAAUUUUGUUCAUAUAACUUGGAGUUGUUUGGACCAUCUAGAGCUUCUACAGAGAGCUGCUUGAGUGAGGUUGUUAGAGAAGCUCCAACUCAGAAGCACCCUAGUCCCACAAACUUCCUGCUGAAACUUGACAGUAAAGUUUCCAUUUCUUUUGGAGAUCUAGAAUCCAAUUUUGGCUUCUCAUUUAAGCCACAUGCAGAGCAUUCCAUGGCCAAGUGCUUAGCUUCUGUUUCUAUAUUUCAGACCCUUGUCAACAGAAUUUGAUUACUAUACCCCUUUUUUUUUUCAACUUGCAGACCACCUGAUCUCUCAGCAUCAGUAUAGACACCCAUGUUUGGGUGCAGUUAUUGCGAGGUUCCUUAUCCACCUGUCCACCACUUAAGUUUGCUCAUUUCAAUGAAAUAGAAAAUUGCAAUUCACCCAAGUAAACUAAACGGAAAGUAAACACAAAUGUUGAUUCUUUCAAUGGUUAAACAUGCAGAGAGAAGGUGUUGGCGAGUUCUCUACAUGACUAUUUACAAGUCGCUAUCUUUUAAACCUAAAUUUGCUUAAUCUGAUUCUAUCUUGACAUUUUACACAAAGAGAAGUUAAAAGGAAACUAAAAGAUUGCAAUUCCUCUUCCAUGACCAAAUCAGCUUGCUAGAGAAAAAACAUCACCCAAAUCCUAUGCUCUUAGAUCAGUCUAACUUUCAUAUAUAUAUAUAUAGGGGUGGCAAUCCAGCUCGCAGUUCGUGAGCCACAUCGUGUUUCGGCUUCAAAUGAGCUCGAAUUGCUCGUUUUGUAAACAAGCCGAACGUGAGCUGAAUUUUCGGCUAUAUAAAAACUACCAACACGAGCUAGUGUAGGUCAGCUCGUCGUCGUCUCUCGAUAACAGCAUCAAACAGAAUUUAUAUUAAUAAUUAUUAAUUAUAUUAUAAAUAAUUAAUAAUAUAUAUAUAUAUAUUUAUUAUUAAAUUGCAAAAAUAAAAAAUAAAUCGAGACUUAAUUUAAAAACUCAUUUAUAUAUAAAUUUCAACUAUUAGAAUCAAAGUCAAUGAAUAAGAUUCUUAUAAAUUUUUUUAUAUACAUCAAUCUAAUCUUAACUUAGGUUUAUGCCAAUCUGACCAGCUCGUUCACUCGAAUUAUAACGAACUGAACACACGAAUUUUCGCUCGAUACUUUAACGACCAGCUCGUUCGUCGUUAUAAACAGCGAACACGAGCCAAGCCUAGCCCUCUGUCGCUCGUUCAAAACCCCUAUAUAAAUAUAUACCCAGAAUAUAUAUAAUAAUAAUAUACCCCAUAUACAGGCUAAAAACAACAAAGUUGUGUCAUGUAAAUUCUCAAGAAUUUAUGCUGCCCAACAAGCUACCAUGCAUAGAAUAUGAACACUUUGCUAGAAGACUUCAGAACCAAUCUUGUUACAAGCAAUUGAUACUAUAUGGGAUAUCUAAUCUACUUUAUCAUUUUUACCUGAUCAAUAGCUGCCACCACAUCAGAUACAUAUCCACCAAAAAGCCUAUAUAGAACCUUGUAUACAGCAAUCCUGCAAAGAAAACAAACAGAAAAUUUUCAUGCUUGUAGAAUCACAAACCAAAAAAAAAAAUAACAAGAAGGUUCCAUAACACAAACUGCGCUCAUCAAGUCAACUUCAGCAAGAUAUUGUGCAGAAAGUUUAAGCACAAAAACUCUAGCUAUAACGCAUUAUGGGAGCUUAUAGCUGCUCACAGCACCAACCAUUUGGGAAUGGCACCAAAAUAUGGUAUGAGCACUCUAAAGCUAGCUCAUUAAAGAAAUCACCCAAUAAGAUGCCUAACCUGGCACGCGGAGCCAUCCCACUAGCUUUACCAAAUUCAUGACCAUGCAUUCUCACUGGGACUCCAUUAUUUCCAGCAGCAAUUGCUGCCGUAUGGCUGGUGAGAAAGGAUAAUAAUAGUAAGAAUGGCAAAAAGCAGAUCAACCCAUGAAGUACUAAAGAAAUUGUAUCAUGCUGAACUUAAAGGGGAAUAUAUAGAUAAAAAUAAUCAAUGGAAAUUCCAUUGUCCAGAGACCCAUUUUCAUUAAAUUGGCAAGAACUAUUCUUGUUUAACUGUGUAAAAGAUGCAAUGUUUCCUGCAAUAUGAUGGGGUUAGUUCAACAAGAUAUCCUAGAAGAUAUGUCACCCUAUGGUAUGUUUUUGUCAUCAAUAUUCCAAAAAUGGUAAGACUCACUGUACAGAUCAACUUUUCAAAUAUCCCAGUCUGUUUGAUUUAGUUGCAUGCAUUUAUUAGUUAUAAGAUAUUGCACUUAUUGAGGGGCAUCUUUUCAUAUUAACUAUUUCUUAGUGAACUUUGAAUACUUGAAACUAGAUGACUGAUUUUAGUCGUAUCAUCUGUAGGUCCUUUUGUCUACUUCCGAAUCUAGUUGUUGAACUAAAAUGAACCAAGAACUUUGCAAUUACACAAAAGACGGUUCAUAACAUGGAUUACUUGAUUAAUGAGAGAAGCCAAAGAGUCUGUAUGCUCCAAAGAGUCGCAUGCUUUCUGGCUCAAGUGUUGUUUUCAUUCAUAGGGUAAUACCCAAAUCAUGGAUAGCCCACUCCUAAUUGUAAGUAUUGACAAACCUCAAAGACAUCGCAUAACAAAAUGGGCACCGGAAGAUUCCUCUAUUCUCUGAAGUUCCUUCAAUUUCAAAACCAUAACAGUCAUGCAUUGCCAACUAGAAAAGUUAAGCAUGAAAACCUUUUUGAGAUCUUGAGAUAUUCAGGUCAUCAAGAAGGGAAGCGAGAAGCUAUUCAGAAGCAAAGACCCAAGUGUAAUGCAAAAGCAAAAGAUGGAAAAACUAAAAAAGACAUGCAAAAAUAUGUUAUUCGGAAGGAAAUCUCUAAACGGAAAAAUACAAGGUAAUUGCUUCUUUCUAUUAUUUGAUGCCUCAUGUUUUAGAACAGAACAAAAUGAACUUCUCUAAACAAAAAUCCUAUCUAAAUUGGGGAGAGUAACGAGGGACUUCAAAGCAUUUACCUUCCAUGGCCAUCACCGUCUAAGGGUGAGGCGAAAUCGAUUGCUGGAUUAAAUGCUCCUGCAGCAAUGGCAGCUUUCGCAAAAUGUUGAGCUCCAAUUAUUUUUCCAUUACAAAAACUCUUCCGAGUUCCUGGAUCAAUUUCACAUUUUCCUUUGUAACGAGGAAGAGGUUCAUAGGACUCAGUGUUGUGAUUAGUAGAGAAACUCGGAUGCUUUGGAUAAAUUCCUGAAUCUACUAAACCAAUCACAAUGUCCUCCCCAGCUCUAUCAAAUCCACCGCCAGUCGGCCAUACUCCUGUCGGCAGUCCCAGAAAUUGCGGAGUGUGUGUUGUUAAUUUCCUUACUUUCAUAUCUUUCUCCACAUAUUUAACCCCAGGAGCCCUCCUCAAGGCCUCUGCCUGAUAAAAAAUAGUUAAUAGUUAAUUACAAACCCUUCUAUUUUGUCCUUAGAAUUAGUUGUAAUAAUUUUGUCCUGAGAAGUUUGGCUGGAUUUGAAUUUCAUCCUAAACUUUUUUCUUUUCACAAUUCAAUCCCUAAAGUAUGACCACAGCUUCAGCUUCCUCCGAGAGUUUCAAAUUUAACAGAACAAAGUCUAACAACGGUGCUAAUUUGGCACCAUUUUCCUGCUAUGAGCCAAAUGACUCAACGACUUAUGUUCUACACAAAAUUAGACUUAAUAGUUACAAAUGAAUUAUGAGGACAAAACUCAAAAUAAAUGUCAAACUCUAGGGACUAAAAUUUAGAAUUAAAUCAGCAAUUAACUCAUAUGACAAGGGUAUAUGCACUGUGGUGAAGUAACGAAAUUUCAAGUAUCUUAUUAAUUUACCUGUAAUGGAGACAUGUGCACAGCAAAGCCAUUUAUCAGAUGAUGGUAGCUAUAGAGCUUCUUGUAUGUCCCAACUUCAAGCAGUGAGUCAAGUAGUUCAUCAUGCUUUCUCUCAAGGUGAAGAGCAUAUGAUGUUACAGCCUCACUGUUAUGUUCAAGGAAUUUUUUAAAAAUGAUGAAAUCAAUUGUUAACACCAAAAGUGAAAAAUGAAGAGAAAUGCAAACUUACAAGAAAAAUAAUGUUGCUGAAUCAGUAAAUACUUCCAGAUAACUUCUUUCUAAAUAUGAUAUGAUGAUUAUCUGUUCAUAAAUAUCACCAAAUAAUUUUUAUAUUACAGUUUAUUUCUGCUUCUUAAAAACCCGACCGAUUAGCCAGAGUGAUUAUAUCGAAGGGAAAACUGUCACAACAAAUACUAGAAGAAAAACAUCGAUUCCACAAGUUGCUGUUUCUAUAGGUUUCUACAAUUAAUGCUGUAUGGCUAAGUUCUUCAAGAAUAUUUUUGUGAAUUAGGCUGAUUUAAGUAAUAUCAUAAAUCAGCCUACCAAAGAGAACUUUUCAAUUUAAUCCACAAACCAAUGGUACGGAUUACUUUUAUCCCAACACUUAGAUAAACAAUGAAACAGACAGGCCGCACCCAACUUAUAAUAUGUAACGCUCAUAGAGAAUGUCAGCCACCAAACUACAACAUGCUUGAUAAUGCCUAAAUGACCUAUUUGGAGCAGCAAGAGCUUCUUCUCAAGCAUUGUUUGAGUAAAGUUGUUGCAAAAAGCACUAAUACCUUUUAAAAAAAAAAAUCACCAAAAAAAUCUUCACAUUACGCAAAAUCAGAAGCUUCAAUUGGAAUUCUGCUUUUUGGAAUCAGAAGCUCACUUCACCUUGAUAUUAAAUAGUAAAGUUCAAAACUUUUUAUUUGUGAAAUGCUUGGCCAUUGUUUUUUUUUUGAGUCAGAAGCUAUUUCAGAAGCUAAGGCAAAGAGGCACUAAAUUAUGUUCUCAAACGACAAAAAUGCUGAACCUUUGCUGAAAUCCUGAAAAAGGGAACUAAUUGAAUUUAACAUCUAAGAUUGCAUGCUCAGAGAAUUCAAUACCUGGUUAUAUCCAUCUCUUCUAAUGGAUCCACUGCUGUUGCAGUGAAACCUUCAAUGCCACCAUUGUAGUUCACAACAGGCUCUCCUUCAAUAGCUACAAUAUAAACAUCAUGGGCUCCAAAAGCUAGGUGCCACAGGAAAAUAAGAUGUAAACACAAGAACUCUGUCGCCUCCAUCUUCAUGCCUAGGCAGCUUAAAUAAUAGUCAACCUUCGGUUCUGAAGACUCCAACUGUAAAGGAAAAGCUACCGGAGUAUAAGAAUCAGUUACAUAAAAAGCUUUCUACCUGCAAUCAUGUUCAUGGUAUAUUAAGAGGACAUUAUCACUUUAUUUUGAACUCCCAUGGUCCCCAAAAUGCUUCUUCAAGAUAUAAAAGAGCUUAAAAAACAAGUGUAGUGGUUUCUUUGUUUAAAAAAAAAAAAAAAAAAAAGGAUAAAAAUGUAUAAAACUUACCUGAACUAUGGACCAUUUUGAUUCGUCUACCCAACCUUUCAAAAUUUUGAUUUUCCCUACCCAAUCUUUCAAUUUGUUUAAUUUAUGUGAUUUGAUGACUCUUUGGAUAUAAAAUUAAGUUAUUUGCUUACAUUAAUGAAUUUACAAUUACGUGAAUUGUAUAAAAUAUACUAAUUAAACCCGCAAAGAUAAACGGUGCAUUCAAAAUUUGAAGUUAAAGAGUCACUGACUGACGCAAAUCAAAAAAAUUAAAAGGCUAGCUAGUAAAUCAAAAUUUUAAAAGGUAAGGUAGUCGGAUCAGAAUGGGUGAUAGUUGAGGUAAGUUUUAUACAUUUUUACGCAAAAAGAAAAAAAAAAUUACAGUGUAGGAAAUAAAGAAAAAAUACUCGAAAGCAACUGUAGUAUAUUGUAAUUAAGCCUUAAUAUUAAGACUACUGUUGGACACCACUAAACUCUUUUGGAGGUCAUUUUCUUUUGUUCUUAGCAUCUAACUAGUGCCUCUUAAUAGAGUUGUUAGCUUUUACUUAAAACAAUAGAUUUAUCGACAGUUGUGUAAAAAAUAGUGUAAAAGAUAAUAGUUUAGUAAUGCCUUUGAAAUAAUAAUAAUAAUAAUAAUAAUAAUAAUAAUACAGGGUAGAAAUUAAUGUAAAGUUCGGUGUGUUUAGAGAUGAUAAGAAAACGACAGUUUGAUGGUGUUUCUGGAAAAAAAAAAAAAAAAAAAAAAAAAAAAAAAAAGGGAGAGAUAAGAGAAAAAAAAAAGUAGCUUUUUUUUGUGGGCGCGGCUCUAUCAUUGAAAAAGAGUUUGAACUUAACACAUGCUACAAACAAACCUUACCAACUACAUUUCCACAGAAGCAUAAGAUCCAAAGGAGAUCACAUCUUUUCCACAUAAAUCACACACAGCGCAUGAUUAUCCCCACUCAAAUCACCAGAAACCAAAAGAAAGCUAGCAACUAACAGAUCAACCCAACAGAGAGCAAGAGGCAACGCACAAUGCACGAGAGAUUAAGAGAUAAAAAAAAACCUCGUCAACAACCGACUUCUUUACCUUCCCUUACCCUAAACCUCACAACGGCUAGGGUUUGGAUCGACGACGAAGAGCGCGUCGAAGCGAGGACGAGGUGAGGGUGAUGAUCGACUCGUACGAUCACGCCAUUGGACGAAGAGCGAAAGAGGGGGAGGCGUGGGGGUUAGGGUUAGGGUUAGGGUUUGAGAGGAGGAGGAGGGAGAGGGGGGGAGUGUGGAGUGAGAGGAGGAGGAGGAGAAGCUUCGCGAGGUUUCCGGUGUCGCCUUUAAUGGAGGGGAGGGAAAGAAAAGAAUCUCGGGAGUUGGUAUUUACGGUUCUGCCACUGAGCGAGCAAAUAGAGAGAGUGGUGGAGCGAGAUCACGCACCGAGGAAUUUAAUAACAUGGACCUGCUCCACCACGUCAUCCCUCAACCGCUUUAUAAUUUGGGAAAACUUCAAAUACCCCCAUGUGGUUUCACUUUUUCUCACUUUAGUACCCUAUAGUUUAAAAUGUAUCAAGUUAGUCCCAAAUCCGUCCUACCAUGAUCCGUCCCGAAUUCGCCCCGAAAAUUAUUUAUAUUUUAAAAAAAUAUUUCUAAAAAGUAAUGUAUUUACAAAAAAAAGUUCAAAAUACAAAUAAGUUGUACUCUUAUUUCUAAUGUAUUUGAAACUUUUCAAUUUUGUUUUGAAUUGUGAUUGAUAUUUUUUAUUUUUAUAAUUAAUAUUAUUAAAUUAUAUAUAUAAUAUUAUUAAAAAUUAUUAAUUUAUAUUUUAUAAAAUAUUAAUAAUAUUAUAAUUUUAUAAAAAAUAUUAGUUGGCGGGCGGAUUCGAAGCGCAGGCAGGAGGCGGGUUACGAGACGGGGUGGAUUAUGGGAUAUAUUUUUUAACCCGUCACGGAUUCGGGACGGAAGGCGGGGUGGAAUUUUGCUAGUCGGGGUGGGAAGCGGGGCGGGGCUCCCGCCCACAGAUCCACCCCGUUUGCAUACCUAAACCUCAAUCAAAAAACAAAGUAAAGAUGGGGUCAUUUCAAAUUGCCCUAUAGUACACACGCAGAUUUUCUCCCAAUAGGAAAGCCAUUACGUAAUAUUAGAAAAAUUAAUGGCUCAAAGCAAAAAAAAAAGUGUUAUAAAAGCUAUAAAAAAUUAAGAUAAAUAUUUAGAUCUUGAAUAUUACAUCUAAUAAUUUUAAGACUAAAAUACAUAAAUUUUCUUGCAAAUACCUAUUUUUUAUUUUUUCUCUCAUGACUCUUAAAAAUCUACAUUUUACUCUCUUAAAAUUUUAGAAAUAUUUUCAGAAAUUUAUGGUGUUAAUAAAGAGUGCGAGAUGACCAAACCCCUUCUUAUUCUGUAAAAAAUAAAUAAUUUUUUAAUCUAUUUUUAUUAUUUUUAAGAUUAUUUUUGAUAUAAAUUAUAAAAAAAAAGACGAUAUAGUUACGUAACCCUGACGAAGGAGGGAGUAAAAUACACGUUUUUCAGAGUCAGAGGGGAAGUAAAAAAAAAGUAUUUGUAAGGGAUUUUCUGUAUGUUUAGCCUAAUUUUAAAUAUACAGGUCCACGGUGUACCAGGUCCAGCGAAUAGUUUCUCCACGGGGAGAGCGAGGUUAUUAUGGGGGUAUUAAUGUCGGAGUUAUUGCUCCACAUUAUUUCGAGGGGAACUUGUCCUUAUCGGUCUCAUAAAGGAGCCCACGUGAUCGAUGAACUCGGCACCGGAUUUUGCUUCUUAGUCAUAAUACGACAAGUCGUCGCCGAGUUCUAUAUAACGAAGUCGGCGUUGCGUUAGCUACUCUGCCGGUUUCGUUGAACGCUUUGGAUUCUCCUUGCCUCGGUUACUAUUUAGGAGACAAGUCGUAUUAACGGAUCCAAAUAUUUUUCAGAAUAAUCCACAGAAAAAUAUCGAAUUAAAUUUAUAAAAGCCAAAAUUAGAAAGGAUGGAAAAAUAAAAAUCUAAAAAUUAGAUAUAAUGAUAUGACAUUAAAAAUAUAUUUUUUUAUAGAAAAAAUAAUCUAAAUAUUUUUUGUCUAUUACUUCCGCUAAAAUAUGUCUAGUCAAAUUCUGCCAACAUAUAUAUAAAUUGAGCCUCAAAAUAUAACCGUCUCAACAGUAAAAAGAGCUUUUUGCUUAUUUAUUCCGACUAUUAUUCAAAAUUUUUAAAUUUAUUCUAAAACUAUCAAAAUAUCUUUCUAAACUCUAAUUUUAAUUAGUAAACUCUAGGGAUUUAGGGAUAUUUUAAAAAAAGUUUGGCAUUUCAGUCAACUAUUGGUAUACUAAAUAUUUUUGAAGUUUUAAAUAACAUCUAGAAACUCUUAUUAAUUUUCAUAAUUUUGUACACGUGGCAAGCUUACCUUAACUAUUGGCUGUGAGGCCCAUCUCAUUUAUCCUUUCUUUGAACCUAUCAAUUUUUAAAGAUCAUGUCAUUUUUCCUUCCGACUCUUCAGUAUAAUAGAAUUAUCAAAGACUUUGUGGUUACUCAUUUCAUCUGUUCGGUUUUUGUGUUUUUCUUCUAAACUCAUCAAAAUUUAACUUGAAAUCCCACUCAUCUUUUACCUAAACUCUUUACAAGUUCUCUUCCCCUUCCUUCACCGCACUCCCCUCAGCGCGGUGGUGGCGCAACUGAAAUCGAGACCAGGAACGUGACAAGGAGUAUGACCCAUUUCCCCUUUUUCAACCUUGUCCCUCCCCAAUCUCUUUUAAGAUCAUGAAUGAUCGAUCAAAGAGGAAGAAUAAGCGAUCAAGAUCAAACAUAUUGAGAGAUACGAAGAUCGAUCUCUAAUUGAGCUCAAUUUCAUCGAUCGAUCAAUGUAGAUCCCUAAUUUUGGGAGAACGAUUACGUACGGAAUAUAUAAACCCUAAUUAGAGAUAUGCUGCUCCAAUAAAUAUUCAUUCGACGCAUUGUAUGGGUCCCUGCACUAGUAUAUUAGAUAUUAUUCCAUAGUAAAAAAACUAGUAUCAAACGCAUAUGAUACCACAAUGUACGAUAGGAGAACAUUCUAUUGUGUUGCUGCUUAAUUAUUGGACCUAUUUCGAAAAGAGUUGUAUUAGAUACAUUUUUUUAUUAUUUGACUAAAAUAAAGAAAACCAUAUGCAAAUACCUACUUCUUCUUUUUUUUCCCUGACUUUCAAAAAAUUUAUUUUACCCUCUAAAAAAUUUUAAGUUGAUGCAUUUAGCGCCCCCCCAACCCCCCGUUAAGGUUCCGUUCACUAUUUCGUGUACUUCUUAUAAUUAUAUCAAAAAUAUAUUUAAAAGUAACCAAAAUAUUUUUUUUCUUAUAAAAUAAAUAAGAACAAUUUGAUCAUUUCGCCCACUCUAUUAAUGCUGUAAUUUUUUAAAAAUCUUUUUAAAAUUUUAAAAAAAUAAAAUAUAGAUUUUUGAAAGUUGGGAAGGAAAAGUGAAUACAAAAAAUUUUUGCAGAAUUUUUUUUUUUUUGUAUUUUAGCCGUGUUAUUUACUUGGUAAUAAAGAAAGAGAACAUUGCUCUUAUUAUUGUUGUAUUAAUACGUUGAGUGGGAUUUCGAUCCACAAUAGGUCUAGCGGCAAGAAACCCUACAAUAGACCUAACGUUUAUGUAGGCUAAGUCAGGUCGAAAUUCGUGAGCGCUGUAGCUGAGCCGCCCUUAAAUGCAAUAAAUGCGCUCUCUCUAACAUCAUAUAAUUUUGGAACAAGUGAUUAAUGCUUACCACCUAUACUAAUGUUCAUAGGUCUCUUCCUAUAUAUUUUGUCCCCCUUUUUUUUUUUGUGUGUUUAGAACACAAACUAAGAUUAAGACAAAAUGAAUCUUUUCAUGCAUUAAUAAGAUUAAGACUAAGUUUAGAAGUACAUAACAAGACCUUUUUUUAAUGCACGUGAGAGAUGGAACCCACCAUAUUUUGUCCUUGCUUUACCUACAUCUCACAUGGUGGGGACUCCACCUAGUUUAUGGCGUGACACAUGAUUUUGUCAUCACCUCUUCAAUAAUUAAUGUUGGGGUGUAAAAUGUACCAAUCUCAUUCAAUUGAUUGGAAUCCAACAAUAAAUAUAUAUGCUUGUCGCUUUAUAACCAAACCAAUAUGUGACGGCCCAAUAAUCACAUAUCAUAUUAAAAAAAUUUAUAAUUGUGAAUAUCAGAAUCAUGGUUUCUAAUUCUAAUAAUUAAGUUUUAAGCAUUUUAGAUUGGGAUUUGGGCCUAACAGGUUUAAUCGACGUCAAAUGGAUAUUUUUCUGAUUAUAAAUAUAAAAAAUAAAAAUUCGACAGAUUCGAAUUUGGAUAUGAUUUCUAUUUGUACCCGCCACCAAUCUAAACCCGAAUAAGUUUUAUAUUAUAUAAUAUAUAAAAAUUUGAAUUUGUACAUUAAAAAAUUAGAUUUGAUAAUAAUACUUUCGGGUUCUGGUUUUUGGGUUCGGAUUUUUGGUUUCAGAUUUUUUGUCAGGUUAGGAUUUGCAAAUGGAUUUUCAUAAACUACUGGUUUCAGAUUCGAGUUAGGGUUUCGGUAUUAAUAGUCGGAUUCGGGUUCGAAUUUUUGAAAAUAAUUAAUUCUAAACCCGACUCGUUGACAUUACGAACUGAGUCGUUAUAUUUGAUAUGAAAGUUGUUCGCAAGCACCCAUCUCAUAUCAAUUAAACAUUUUUAUGCUAGAAGAAGGAUAAUUGAUUAGUCUACAAAUUACAAUGAAAAAAAAAGGGCCCAAAAUCAACAUGAAUUUUAGGUAAAUUGCAAAUGUUAAUUAAAAACCUAAUAUUACUUAAAUACCUAAGUUACAAGAUUAAUUAUAUAAAUAAUUAUUUUGUUUCUGUUAAAUAUUUUUUAUGUAUUACUAUCAAAGUUCCAAAUAUUGUCAGCACAGGAGUAUCACAUGGUUACAAAUAAUAUGUAAAUUCCGACCUGAACUUACGCUAAAUUAUAAAUCAUUGUCCGAACUUUUUUUUACCUUUGGUGCUACAAAGAAAGUUUUUUUUAAAAAAGAAAAAACCUUUUUCUGUAUGUGAUAGUUAUGUGUCGACAUUAUUUGCGAGAUGCGACAAAAAAAUUUGAGACAAAUGACUGAUUCUAAUAAAUUGCUCAUUCAUAUAACAAAUUCAAUCUUAUUUAGAUAGCGAUUUGUGUUUGAGAUGAAGUUUAAUAGGUUUUGUAGUUUUUUUCUCAUUCCAAUAUUUGAAGAAGCAUAUGGAUUUGGAGCCCAAUGUUAUUGGGUUAAGGUUUGGAUUCCAAAAUGGUUCGGCCCGAAUUCGCCCCGAUUUCACCCUCUGGUGGGGCUAAGCCAAGUUGGCCGUUUUGAUAUAACAAUUGAUUAAAUACAAUCAUAAUGUGACGUUCUCAGGAUUUGAAAUUUAUAUAUAGUAUAAUAAGACUAAAUCUUUUUAUUCGAUUAUACCAUUUUGGGCUAUGGUUGAAUUCAUGAUAUUAAGAGGAUUAAGUAUGUUAGGGUUAAAGUAGUUUUAGGAUUUGUGACUCCUUUUUUGAAGCAGGACAUCACAAUUGGUAUCGGAGCCAAUCAUUAAUCGGAAGUAUGAGAUGGAUCUUGGCUGAGCUCAGAUCAUAUAGCGGGAAGAAUAUUGCUCUCCAAUUGACGACUGUUGUGGGUAGAGCACAGAUUCCGCAAGAUGGCUAGUUAAGGCUAGCAAUACGAGUCUCAAAUCGUCUGUUGCUUGUGAGUGUACUUGAGCCUUGCAAGGACGUCAGAACUUAAAAGGAAGGAAUAUGAUACUUUCAAAUUUUGAAAUAGUCAUGUGUAUAUAUAUGGCAGUGUUUGGAUUGGGGAUAAGGGGAGGGAUAACCCCUUAUCCCCCUCUUUAUACCCAAAUGCAAAUUUUUUACCCCAGAAUAGUAGUAGUUCUAGGAUUUCUGAAAUAAGCUGGUAUAACUAUCUCCACUAACACCUCUAUUUUUUAUAUAUAACUAUCCAUUAUUUUUCUUAUUCCAUAUUAUCUAUCCAAACACUAUUUUUCUUAUCCCCGGGAACAACCCAAUUUUCAUCCAAACGCUAUUUUGCUUAUUUCCAUACUUGUACCUAUCCCUGUAAUAGCUAGUUCUUGCUUAUACCCGAACCAAACGGGAUAAUAUAUGAUAUGACCAAACUUUUUAACCUGGUUAUAGCAUUUGGGAUGGUGGCUAGAUCUAAAAACUUAAUAGGGUUAAAUGUGGUAGAACUAGAAUAGUUUUAGAAUAGAUGACCCCCCAGAAAGCAGAGUGUGACACAUGAAUUGUUCGUCUUUAUCCUAAUUAAACAUUAAUAACAUCGACAUUAUGGUAAACAAAAUUCCCAUUUCCAUUAGCUGCAUUUUCUUCUUCUACUUUUAGCUACAGUUAUUUUUUGCAGAAUGUUUAUCGAUGCAAAAGUUUGGAUCCAACUGUGGUAUAAAAUAGAUUUAAGAUUUCACAAUUCAAAAACAAUGCAAUUUCUAUAACUUUUCCAAAUGGGCCUGUACAGGAGAUCUAUGCUUUCAUCUUACAAACUUGCAAAGCUUAAGAUCUAAAUUGGCAAACCAAGCCAACAGGAGAUGCUGGCAAAUGCUCCUAGGGCUGUUUGGCCUAGAUUUAAAGUCUCAAUUUAAAUUUAAAAAUUUGAGUUUAAAAUUAUAUUCAGAUUUUAAAAAGCAGACUUUAACUGCUUCUAAUUUGAGCCUCUAAAAUUAAAAACUUAUUUUAGGAAUCAAAAUCAGAUUUUAAAAAAGAGAUUAUUAAAUUCUUUAUUGAAAGAAAAUUCACUUUUAACCUUAAAAUCACUCUGCUUAGAUGAAAACGGACUUUGGAACGGUCCCUUUCUAUGUGCCAUCUUAUGGCUUGCCCAAAAGAGCCCUUAUUCCAGUUGUUGUGGUUAAGUUUGAGAUACUUUCAUACAAAUAAAAAGGUAAAAAUAUAUAGAAUAUCCUUGACUUCAAAAUUUAAGCUAAUUUUUUGCUCCAAUGAAUUUGUAAUUGCGUGAAUUAUAAAAAGUAGGCUAACUAAAUAUAUAAAGAUAAACGUCAAAUUUGAAAGUCGAAGUAUCAUUGACUGGCUCAAAUCAAAUAAAUUAAAAGAUUUGAUAGUAAAUCAAAAUUUUGAAAGAUUAUAUAUUUAAUUCAAAAUUAUCCAUAAUUCAAGUAAGUUACAUAUGUUUUGACCCAAAUACUGUCACUAUAUAUUAUGCAUGUAUUAAUGUAUUAUUAGCGCUCCAAAGUCUUAGAACUUUUUGCUGUGUGCAGUAGGCCCAUGAGACUAAUAAAUUAAGUUAAAUGAGUCCAACGUUGAGUGGGACUGUGGUCCACAAGAAACCUAACGUUAAGAUGGAUUCAAUUAGGAUGAAAUCUGUGAGCGCUAUGGCUGAGCUUUUAAAUGUGAUGAGUGCGCCCUUAGUAUUAAUAUGUACUUUUAGAAUAGUUAGUCGGCGCUUACGAUCCAGAUUCGAUCUCCGGUGCUCCUAGGGAUGUCAAUGGGUAUGAAUAACCGAAAUUUUAUCUGAACCCGAACCCGAAUGAAACGGAUAUAUCCGAUAUUAAAUGGAUAUGAAUAUCAAAAAUAGAAACCCGACGGAUAUGGAUUCGGAUAUGGAUUUUGAGUUUACCCGACCCGAACCCGAGCCCGACCCGAAACUGAAUUUAUUUUAUAUUAUAUAUAAUAUAUAUAUAAAUUCGAUGUUAUCUUUGAAUUUGUAUUUUAAAAAUUUAGAUUUAAUAUAAUAUAUUUUGAAAUAUUGAAAAAAGAAAUACUUGUUUCGGGUUCAAAUUUUCGGGUUCGGGUUCGGGUUCGGGUUUCGGAUUUUUGGUCGGAUUCAGGUUUGGAUAUGAAUUUUUAAAAUUUAUCGGGUUCGGGUUCGGGUUCGGGUUCGGGUUCAGGUUUUUGAAAAUCCGCCCCAAAUCCGACCCGUUGACAUCUCUAGGUGCUCCUGUGGUUUUGGAGGAGAUUCUUGCUGUUCCAAUGGCCACAAAAGAGAGCAAUUCUUUCCUCAUAAAGAUUUCAUAAGCCUAACUGGCUGAACUAACCUGGCCCAAAGAACACUUGGCACCAGGUUUUUAUACUCAAAAAGUGGAUUAGAUCCUAAUUGUUGGUCCAACAAUUCAAAGUUGUAUUACUUUGGCAGGGCCAGGUUUGGGGGUAUACUUUGAACUUCUAAUCUUUUAUAUACUCUCUUCUAAAAACUUGAGAAAUAUCUAAUAUAUUUCUGAUUGACCAAAAUUCUCUUCGAAUUUCAAAUUCUUUUUUGAAAAAUCCAAAAACUCUUAAGGGUUCGGUAAUGGGAUUGGAUUUUAGAAAGAUAUUAUAUUUGAAAAUUUCGAAUAGUUUUGAAGUAUAAAUUAAUAAGCAAAAGCUCCUAUUUUGUUUAUUUUCAAAACACUAUAUACUAAAUUUCCUAGAUAGAAGUAUCAUGAUCAUGGAUAAUGUUUCAAUUAUGAGAAAUAUCUCACCAUAACUUUUUGCUGCAAAACAGGAAUAAGAUUUUGCCCUUUAAAAAAACCAUUGUAGAAUAGGAAUAAACUUUUGCCUAUAAUCUUCUUUGUCUAGAACAUGAAUAAUCUCUUGUAUCUUCUCUUGCAGCGAAAAUAAGAUCUUUACCGCCACGGUUAUUAAUUAAGGGAAAAAAUUAAAAUUUUUGGUAAAUUAGUCCUCAAACUUUAAUUUGUCGUAAUUUCUGGUUCGAACUUUCUGAAUUAUUGUGAUUAAAUUUCAUAAUCCAAUUUAGUUGGCUAAAUAUCGUCAAAUUAUUGACACGGAAGUAUUGCAGCAUUUUAAUUAUUGUUGCAUUAUUAAUCACGAUAUUUUCACAUUAUGUCUACAUUAAUAAUUUAUUAUUUAACCAACUAAAUUGGGUUGUGAGACUUGAUUACCAAUAAUUCAAAAAGUCCGAGUUAGAAAUUACAACAAAUAAAAGUUUGAGAAUCAAAGUGACACACGUCUCAUUCUUUGAGGACUAAAAGUAUAAUUUAUCUUAAAUUUUUUUUGUUCCAUGUUUGUUGAUUAAAGAGAAGAGAUGUUGAGAGAAAUCAUUGAUUAGAAAGGAGAGAUACCCAUGAAUAGGGAUGUCAACGGAUCGAAUUUUUAAAAAUCCGAAUCCGAACCCAACUACAAACCUGAAAUCCGAACCUGAAUCAAAAUCCGACGGAUUUUAAAAAUCCAUAUCCAAAUCCGAACUCAACCAAAAAUUUGAAAUCCGAACCCGAAUCCGAAAACUUGAAUCCGAAAUUGUUAUUUCUCUUUAUCAUAUUUCAAAAUAUAUUACAUUAAAUCUAAAUUUUUAAAAUAUAAAUUCAAAUACAACAUCAAAUAUUUAUAUACGUAUAAAUUUAUACCCGAAUCCAAAUUUGUCAUAUUUUUAUUUUUAUUUGUUUUAUAUCUCUUUCGAAUUAAGUAAAUCCACUUUGUUCGGAUUCGGAUUCCAAAAGUUAUCCGCACCCGUUAACAUCCCUAAUCGAGUCGCGCUCGAAACCUCUCUCUACACCUAAAAAACGCACUGUUAAAAAGAGCGGCAAAACCCUUCUCUCUCUCUCUCCUCGCUCGCGUUAAUUCGCCAUGAGCGACUCCCGCGAAGGAUCUCCCGAUUGGCUACGAGCAUUCCAGGUCAAUUUCCACCUUUUUUUGAUACAAUUCGUACGCCUAAUUUGUGCUUUUAAUCCUUUGAUGCUUCUCGAAUCAUUGUUAUUGUUCUUCGAGUGAAAGGAUCAAGUCGAAAUUGGAAAAAAGCGGAAUAAAUCGGGGUUAAAUCCUCUUUUUAUGGUGGUAUAUGCUUUUUUCUAGCAUGAUUUGUAGUUUAUUUAUGUUAAAAUUUUGAUCUUUUUUUUUUUUUUUUUUAUCUUAGGAGUGAUUAUUGGUAGUAUUAGUGUCACAUUACCUCAUUUGUAGCAAUUUAGGGUUCAUUUUGAUCUUAAAUCUUCAUCAUUUCGCUGAAUAUGGAUGUGGGUUUGGGACAUUAGAGUUUAUUUGGUAUCUAAGAAUUUUUAUUGGGUAGUAUGAUUAGAGAGUGUUGGUUUGGAACUUUGUAAAUGAAUUGGGUUGAUAGUAUUUUUUUUACUCUUUUCUAGGAUUUAUCUUUCCCAAUUUGGAUCGCCAAUUCACGAGGAUCAUCCAAAUUUACCCUUUUUUUUCCAAUCCUUUCUCCUAUUUGAAUUUCUGUUCUUGGUGAUUCAGGAUGAUAUUUCUUAUUGUUAUUUAGAUAUACAUUUUUUUCUUUCAUCCAAGUCCCUGAAGUUUUAGUCAAGUUUCACUUUAUUGAACUUGUAAGUAGAACAUAUGUCAUUCCAAACUUUUAGAAUUUCUUCACUUUAGUACGUAAACGUAGAGGAAAAAUUGUUUCGUGCAUCUGUGCAUCCAUUCACUGUGAAUCUUCAGUCCUCCAUCCAACUUAAUACUUUCAGUCCUCUGUCUCAUUUGUAAGUGGAGUCUGAUUUGCAAGUGGAGAUAAAGUUGCAAGUCAAUGGGUGGUAGCGAUCGAAAUAUGAGAUGGAUAACGGAAUGGUUCUGUGGUGCACGAAUGUACGAAUGCAUUGGGUGUAGGUAAUAAUAUCUCUUCUAACAAUAAAUAAUGACGAGAACUAAAGUGAAGCACUUUCAAAAGUUUGAAAUGUCGGAUGCCCAAGUCAAAAGUUUGUGGACUAACGGACCACAAUGAGACUUGGCUAAAAGCUUAGGGACUAGAGGUGCAAUUUACCUAAGAGAAUAUAUAUAUCUGAUCUAGCAUAUCCUAUAAUGAGCUUCUAUGUUUCUGCACUUUCACUACUUAUCCAAUUUUUUUACCUGUGAAAGUAAUGCAAUUUUAUGUUGCAGUCUAUUUGAAGAUCUGGUUAGUUUAUUAUCAUUCGAUUUCUUUUUUUUUUCUAUUGCAUCCUACAUACUUGUAAUUGAGGAAGCAAAUUUUUGGAUUCAAUAAUUUGUAUCAAUGCAAGUGAUUCUUGUUGAUACUAUGAGGUUAGCAACUAAUAGAUCACGUUUCUUACAUGAUUUUCACGAGAAUUUUGUUGGACUUAUUAUCUGAUGGAGAUCAUACAAGUUUUUUAGAGUGCAAAAAAGUCUCUGGUCAUCUGGUGUAUUUACUUCUUCAUCACUGCCUCCAGUUGUUUUAGUUUUAGUGGAUAAUUGAGAAUUUAAUGUGACUUGAUUUUGAAACUGAAUUCUGGCCUUAUUCUAUUUCACAACAUUCCGCUUUCUUGAACAGGCACCUAAUAGGGAUGUUGUGACACUAUCUUCUGGUUCUGAUUCUUCUCCCAGAAAUAGCCCGUCGAGGCCUACUACUACGCAUGACAAAGCACCAAAGAGACAUCCGGAGAAUGAUGACUCAAUAGUUAUUGAAAGUGGAGAAGAUAGUCAAGUUAAGGCUAAAAAGGCAAAAAAUGUAAAAGUCGAGAACUGUCCUAUUCUAGUAGAAGGUAAAUUUAAAGGGAUUCAAAUCUAUUAGGUAAUAAUGCAACUGUUGCAGCUUUUAAGUGUACAAAUGCUUGUGUGCAUGCGUGCAUGAAUUUUUGGAAGCACUAGGGUAACAGUGCUUCUGCUACUUUUCUCUUUGGACGGGUUUUGAUAUCCGCGCAUGCACACUUCAUUUCAAGGUGUGUGCCUGCAUGAUGUACAUCAAGCAAGGAUUGUCGUGCCACUAGCACGGCCGUGCAGCUGUGCUGACAGCACGGCAUGGCACGCCUUCCGUGCCAGUGGCUCAUCACUAGCUUUUUGGCACACAUUUGCAUGAAUUCUUUUCAAUUAAAUUGUCAUAAAAAUUAGUUUUUUAGAGUGUUUCAACAUCUCUAAUGAUUAGGAAACUAGUUUAUAUAUUAUAUCUCCCAUUAUUUAAUAGAAAUAGAGUCACAAACAUCAUAAUAACUUAAAAAAAUAAUUUUAUACAUAUUAUUGGAUAAAAAUUUGUAAGAAAACACUGCCAUGGGUAUAUGCAAUAGAUCUAAAAUGAUAAAAAACUUGGAGGAAAUCUUCUUAUUUGUGUAUAUAUAUAUAUAUAUUUACUUAAAGUUGGUCUUAUUAUGAAAUUGAGCUUACUAAUUUCUCCAAGUGUAAGUAGAUUUUCAAGAACUACAAAUUUUAAGUAUGAAAGCACUUAAAAAAACUCUUUACCUCAAAAAAAAAAAAAACUCAAAAAGAUUUCAGAAAAUGUGAAAAAAACUACUUUCUUGAUACCAACCCCGUGCCACGUGCCUGCCAGCACAUGGGCAGCAUGAGGCGGCAGGCACAUGCAAUACUUGGCAUCAAGAUUCCCUCUUAUUAGAGGCGUGCAUACAUGACAAAGCCAAUUUGACACAAAAAAAUGAAAACUUCAGCCCCUCAUUGCCUCCAAAACUAUUCCAGCACAACUCCUUUCUCUCUGUAUUUUAUUUAUUAUUCAUAUAUAUAUAUAUAGAGAGAGAGAGAGAGAGAGAGAGAGAGCUAGGCUGGUAUACUAUCGGUAGCACGAAAGCCGUGCUACCAAGUUGUUUUCAAUGAUGCGGCUUUCAAAUCGACGAUCGGCUCCAUUAGACUUGAUCUACACUAUUAACAGUAUUUGGAAACUAAAUUUCAUAAUUUUUCAACAUCAUUUGGCUUGUGAUCAAAAGGUCUCAAAAUUGACAAUUUUAAUGGUAGAUGUGAUGCAUUUGUGAAUUUAAUGGCGUAAAACAAUCCAAAUCUGAUGAAAUUUUUAUAGAAAUUUUUUUUCACUAUUUAGAGUAAGAUCAAUACCUCUGAUCUUAAAUUCAAGUCUUUUAUCAUUAUUUUUUAUGAGAUUUUUAUUUUCAGCCGUUCAUUUUUAGACUACUCGUUUGAUAGGUAAAUGAUGCCGAAAAAUUAUGAAAUUUAGUUGCCAAAUACUUACAAUAGUGUAGAUCAAGUCUAACGGAGUCGAUCGUCGAUUUAGAGGUCGCAUCAUUGAAAGCAACUUGGUAGCACGGAGGCCUUCGUGCUACCGAUAGUACACCAGCCUAGCUCUCUCUCUCUCUCUCUCUCUCUCUAUAUAUAUAUAUAUAUAUAUAUAUAUAUAUAUAUAUAUAUAUAUAUACAUUCUCAUAUGUGCCCUUCGAACACCCUUGGAAAACAUCUUCUAAAGCAAGACCAACUUCCCUCUUGGAAUUUAUAACUCUCUAACUUAGAAUAAGGGUAUUUUUAUACGAAACUCGACAUCUGAGGAGUGUAUGUGAAUAUUUAAUCUUACACAUGUAUAUAAGCCCCUGUAUUAUUUUACCUUAUUACGAUUAUCUUGGUGUGUUCUAACAUAGAUACCUUGGAUACACAAGAGGACGGACCUGCUGAAGUGGAUAUUAAAGAAAAAUCUAGUGAUCCUCCUGUAAGAUGCUAAAUAUGUGCUGUUUCUCCUCUAUCUUCAUCCGUAUGUGCUAAUGUGUUUUGUUUUUGAGUUAACCUAUGUUUCAAUUCAAAUCUUAUUAAGAUAAUUGACAUUUAAUUAUACUGUGUAAAUUGUUGUUUCCAUGUUAUGUAAACUAGGUGCCGAAAACUAGUAGUUUUACAUGAUCUGUAUGAGCAAAUGAGGUUUAGUAGUGGUUGUUGAUAGGACUGUAGGGACCAGAUGUUUGACUUUUUACCUAUUUCUAUGAUGGAUUUUCUAUUACUCUGUUUGCUUAAUUCUUUGAUGAAGUACAUUUUCUUUUGAACUUUAGGUUUCUCAGAGGUUGCCAUUGAUCUUCCCUGACAAAGUUCAACGUUCAAAGGUACAACUUCUCCUAUCUUUGAAUGGUUGUGGGUUGAAGAGAAUUUCUUCUUUGCUGGAUCUGUUAAUUCAUAAUUUACAUUUAACUAGCUCAUUAAAUUGUUUUUUAUGUAGGAUCUCCACCAAAUAAAAGAAUGGGAAUUUCAAGAGAAAUUUACUUAAUUAUGUAACACUCCAACCAUAAACUUUGGAAGUGCUAAAUCAUAGGCUAGAAGCAGUUUAUGCUUUCUGAUAGCAAGAAAUCUAUGGUUUAGCCAGAUAGUAUCUAAGCAAUCUCAUUCAAUUACUAAAGCUGAGGAUGAUUUAAAGCUAGCAUUUUCGCGUCAUGAGUUUCAUUUUGGAUAUUAAGCUAAAAUUGAAAGUUUCUUAUGCAACAGAAAGUAUAGCCAUAGGAACUCGUAUUGCCAAUGCUUGUAAAAAAUUGUUGCACAAGUUAGACUACUCCCCUAAUGAAAAUCUCAUACUAGACUAAACCUCAUGAAGUUAUUUUGCUAUCAUGAAGUUGUUGUGCUAUAUUCUCUGCUUUAGAUAACUGUUAUAGUAUUCUUGAAUUUUGUUGUCGCAUAUGCCUGUGAUAAAUGUUUCACCACUAUACCCGUGUCUGGGGUGUGAAUGAAUAUACAUCAGGUUUUCACAGCACACAAGAGAAAACCAAAUAGGGGUAUUUUUGCAAUAUUCCAUAUUUGUAUUUGCAGGGGAUAUGUUUUUGACAAAUCCAUUUUACAAUUUGAUAUUGUAGUGACACUGCCUGUUUGGAAGAUUGUCCCAUGAAAACUUGGUUGAUGCAAGAUCAUUGCGAGAUCUAUCAUGUUUUAGUACCAGAAUGUCAUGGGCAUACAUAAUCAAUUCUAAGGGCAUUAGGUUUACUGAUUCUUUUCUAAUUUCAAGUCAAACUACUUCUCCACAUUGAAACUACCUAUAGAUCAUGGGUUUGAAAAUUUGAAAAUCGAAUUUCAGUAGGAAGCUUGAGUCAUAUCUUAAAUUGUGCCAAAUCUGGGGCAUUAUGAAGUUGGGUUCAGACUUCAGACUUGUCUACCUUUACUCAGCUUUACCUUAAUUCUAAAUGCAUUAGGUUUACUGAUUCGUUUCUAAUUUAAAGUUUGAAUCAGCUCUGAAACUACUUGUAAAUCAUGAAUUUGAAACUUGAAAAUUGAAUUUGAGUAGGAAGCUUGAGUCAUUACUAAAAUUGUGCCAAAUUUGGGCACUUUAAAGCUGUGUUCAGACUUCAGACUUGUCUAUCUUUUCUCAUCUUUACCGCGAAGUGUGUGCUGUAUUGUAUCUCCAAUAAGAGUUCAUCUUAUGAGCAAAAAGUAGAUUUUAUUGAAAUUAUCUAAUUGGUUUUGUUCAGUUCCUUCGGUUACAUCCUGUUGAAAUGUAAGUUACAGUAUGGAAACAACAAACUCACUAGAACUACAUUAUCAUAUUUAAAUAUGGAAAAUAUGCCGCACCAUGCCUUCCAGAGAAGUCCACAUAAAUAACCGUAAGUUAGAUUUUUCUACAAAGUAUCUUUUUGGUAGUGCAGUGCGAAAAAGAUGUGUAUAAUCUGACUAUCAGAGUGUCAAUUGUUCUGCUUGAUACAACAAACUUUGGUGAAGAAAUUCACAACAUAUCAAGAGAGUUGUAACCUGUAAGAUGUCAAAUAUUUGGCUAUCGACACUAUGAUUUUUAGUAGCAAUGACUGUAAUUGCUCACUGUGGUGCUUGGCUAUUUUUAGCUGAAGUUGAUUAUGUACAAUAUAAUCUCAGUUCCUCUCUUUUUGGUUUUACAUCUAGGCCCUUGUUGAAUGUGAUGGAGACUCUAUAGACUUGAGCGGAGAUAUUGGAGCUGUUGGACGAAUUGUAAUUUCAGAUGGUCCUGCAGGGAACCAAGAAUUGCUAUUAGACCUAAAAGGUAGCUUUUAAGAACUUUAACAUCUUCAAGUUUGUUAUGCAGCUAAAUGUCAAUAUGCUCAAUUUUAGUCUUGAAUUUUUUUUUCUUUGCUUUUCUUUUUUUUGGAACUUGAAAUUCUAAUAAAGUACAAGUUUUAUCGCAUUAGUGAGGAAAGAAGUGUAUUCUUGUCAGACUAGUAUGCUGAUAACUUAUAUAAUAUUAAUAUCUAUUAAUAUCUAUGAUCAGUUCUUUCAUGGUUUCUUGAUUUUGCAGAAAUAAACAUUAAAGAAAAUGAAGGUCUAAGUUUUAAUUUCUGUUAUGUUUCUCGGAGGAGAUUGAUCUUGUGCUAGAUUGAUCUUGUGCCUACUCUGUCAGCUAAGGUCUAAAUCUUUGCUUGUAGUGAACAUACUGUUACCAUUUUAGAUCUGGCAAGUUUUGGUGUCAUUCUAAAGUCUAAACUUUGGGGAUGGAUGAAUAUGAAUUGAGCCUCUUUCUCUUUCUCUAUUUAUUAUUUUUUUAAUAGAAUCCUAGCUGGUGCUUGACUAGUGAAUUUUAGGUCUAAGGCCAUUGCUUUGGAAAGCUAGGCCCAUGCCUGGUUAUUACAAGUCAGUCGAGAGGGUCAAUAACCAUUUGACACCACAUAAAUAUUUUGAGUUUGCUUGCAUGUAUUCAGUUUGGCCUUUUAUUCCUAUCUGGAGCAUGGCUUUAUUCUGCUGGUUGAUCUUAUUUCUCCAUGCUUCCUUGCUUAGUCUAGAAAAAAUAGAACAUAGAGCAAGAUGGAAAUAGUAUAUUAAGAGUGCAGGUUGUUCAUUUUUCAAUGCAGGUCAUUAAUUUUUUCCUUUUACAUGAGACAUAUAUAAACUCACUUAAAAAUUGUGAAUUUUUUAAUUCUAGAUAUUUCUAAUAGUUUAGAUAUCAUCAAAAUAGGCAUCCUCACUAUUAUGCCUUUAGUGCAACAGAGUACUGCAACAUGACCAGUUUCUGCAUAAAUAAUAGCUAUAACUUUCUCAUUUGCUAACUUGGUGACUUGUGGAUAAUUUUCCUUUUAAGAAGAUGAUUCCUUCGAAUGUGUGCUUUGACUUCUUAGAGUUAUCUUUUUUGAUUCUCUUUCUUAUUUCCACUUUGUUUUGACCUCUUGAAAUUCUUAUGUAUUACUUACCUAUAUUUUCUUUCAAUGGGCUUAUUAGUUCCUAUCACUUUUGUACUUGUAGUUAAUGAUUUUCUUUCUGUUUCUGUUGGUGGAACAGGCACAAUAUAUAAAUCAACUAUAGUUCCUUCACGAACAUUUUGUGUAGUAUGUUAUUCGUCCACCUUGAGACCAUUUAUUUCUUGCUUCUUAGAUCAUUAUCUUUCCUAGAUUUGUUUAUGGCGGUAUUUCUGUAUGCAGGUUAGCGUGGGACAAUCAGAUGCAAAGGUCUGUCAGCCUAAAUCUCAGUCUAAGAGUUGUUAAGUUCUCUACCUGUGCUCCCUUUUAGGAUACAAGUUCUGUUAUGAAAAUAGAUCAAAUUUAAAAUCGUCUUCCGUAUCUAUGAACAUGUAGUUUGCUUACGAUUUCUUUCAUUAUUUUUCACGUUAUAAUUGGUUUUAAUGAUUCGUUACUUUUCUCCCUUUUCUUGGCAGAUUAUUGUCUGAUAAUAAUUAGUAUUCUGUUCUCAUUUAUGACUUAGUCGUAAUUAAUACUUUUGUUUAUUAUUUGCAUUGAUUUGGCAAUAUUUGUUUUAAAAGUAGGUAUUUUUCCAGUGAUUUUGCUUGGAACUCUUGCAGUUAUAUCUAACUAUAUUUUCAGAAUUUUCUUUUCUGAAGUUAUUCACAUAAUUAGUGAUUUUAAAUGGUGACUGUGCAGAUAGAAGCUAUCAUGAAUGAUUUCAUUCAAUUGGAGCCCCAAUCUAAUGUGUUUGAAGCUGAGACAAUGAUUGAAGGUUCCUAUUCUUUGCCCCCUUUUACGUCAUUGUUCAAACAGUUUGGAUUUACGGGAGCUAAUUUUCUAGAACAGAUUAAUUGAAUUCUACUCAUUCGCCCUUGAUUUCCAAAAUUUGUCUGUAAUGCUCGAAUUCCUUAAGCCAAGCUUAUUGACUUUUCGGGUAGUAAUACUUUAGAAAUAUCUUAGUUCUUUUACAAGUAUUUGUACUAGGGCUAUUAGCUGAGCAGUUGCUUAACUUCAUCAUGCAGAGAAUUGCUAAUUCUGAUUAGUUGUUUGACUUUGCUCUUAUGAUGUUCACAGCCAUUGCCUUUUGAAAAUCACAAAGCAGACUUGUCCGUUGUCCCAUUACCCCUUGGGUCUCUUGGCAUUUGAUUGUUAAUGCAGUUUGCUGCUUGACAAACAUCAGCUGACAGCCAUGUCUUUAUUUAUAACAAGGAUUUAAGUGCCGUGACACGGAGUCGUGCCAGAAACUUGCUGGCACGGUGUAUGCCAAGCCGUGCCGAUGCGUGUCAAUCACAAAAAUUUUCUGUGUGCUGACACAUAAUAGUAUGUUAGCAACAAAAUAGUCUAACUGUUUAUUAUGUAUUUUUAUCAAAUCUUUUGAAUUUUAUUGAGAAAAUUACUUACUAAUUUAAAGAAUAGUGGAUUUUGAGCUGUGCCAUCGGCACGAGGGCUGUAUCGUGUCGAUAUCUUGUUGGCACGAUACGGCACGGUAGAUUUGAUGGACGCUUAAAUCCUUGGUUCAUAACAAUGCAAUUUACAUUUAUGAAGCUAAAAUUUGGAUAACUUCCUUGUAUACUAGUGUAAUGGCCCGCGCUUCGCGGCGGGAGCUAAUAAUGCGGGAAGCUAAUAAGAUGAUUAUUUUAUUAUAUUUAUUUAUUAAGAAAUAUAGAGAUACAUAUAACAUUAACAUUAUGUAAGAUAACUAAAUACAUAAGACAUAAUCUAAUAUGAUACAAUGUCAUUUAUAAUGCAAAUAUAAUUGGUAAAACAGUUUCCAGAUUAUGGCCUACCUGUUCCACUUGAUUUCUUGCCGAUGUUAAUCUUGCCCGGCCCUUCCCCAGCUUUCGAACUGCAUAAGUAUGAACAAUAUCUCACAUAUAUACGGUUACUGCAAACAUGUUGGUUUAUCAUUAAGUCUGAGUGCAUUGCAAGCAUAGAGACUUACUGAUAUUUUUUUCUUUAUCUGGUCAAGUCAGCAGUUCUCGGCGUGUAUCAUGUUGGUUUAUCAUGUUGGUUUUUAGAGUUUAUGUUCAUCUCCGAAUUCAAGUAUGUCACGGCUAUUGCAAACAUGGCAUUCAAUUUCAGUACUAAUUCCAAAUACAUUAAAGUGCUGGACUUUUUUCCCACAUUAAACAUACCUUGAUCAAAAUAGUAAGGCAUUUUCUUAUCAUUUUAGAUAAAGGCAUCGAAAUAUAAACAUAGAGCAAGAACAGAAAACUUUGGAGAAAACGUAAUUUUCGUAACCAAUUAUUAAUUUAUUUUAAUUAAGGGAGUAAUGGAAAAUAAAAUGCAUCUAACAUAAAGAGACGAAAAGACUGUAAUUAAUUAGUCACAUUAUUAAACUGUUUUAAAAAUUUACCUAUGAAGUCAGCAAAAUUUAAGAAAGAUUAAAUUCAGAAAAUUCUGCACAAAAAUUUGAUGACUGAUAAUUAAUUAACUUUAAGUAAGCAAGUCAGGCAAGAAGAAACAAAAAAAAAAAAAAAAGUUACACAUUUAAUUUUUUUUAUUUAUCUAAGUUUAUCGUUCUAGUAUAGAAAGAAACAUAUUUGUUUAGCCUAAAAUAUUAAUUUAUGUAUUUUUAUACCAUCAAGAAGUACACUCUAUGAGAGUAUACAUCAACAUAGUUUUACCUUACCUUACGAAAGUAGAAGAUAUGGACCCCAAAUUAUUCUAGAAAAAAUACAUCGAUAUGACUGGCUGGAUUUAUAUCAUUUUGGAUCCUCCUCACAAAAUUACGAGAUAGAGCCAAGGGAAAUUACUCCUCCUUCCUAAAGUAAAUGGGUCCUAAUAACUCUAGUAGAAGUUGUAAGUGUAUAUAUAUAGCAAAUUGGAGAAUAUUCUAUAUCAUGGUUGAUGUUGAAAGACAAAUAGGUAGAGACAAAAUUAAAGGUUCAUGCACCCUGUGUUUGAUGUUAAACAAUAUUACUAUAUAUAGAAAAAGUUGGGGAGGAUGCAUGCAUCGUAAUGAUAAGAAAGAAAGCAAAAGGACAAGGAAUAUUCUAGUACUAUGGGAAAUCUUGUUUAAUGCACCCUGAGUUUGAUGUUAAACAACAUUGCUAUAUAUAGAAAAUGUUGGGGAGGAUGCAUGCAUCGGAAUGAUAAAAAAGAAGCAAAAGGACAAGGAAUAUUCUGUAAGAGAAAAGUUUAUUUUGUGUGCAAGAUACUAUUUUUAUUGGACUUAGAGAAGUAAAAGGCAAUUUACAAAUAAUUCAUGGUGAAAUUGGAGUGAAAACAGAAGAUUUAGAAUUUUCUGUAAGGAACGGAGCUUUUUUUUAGCAGAGAAUUCAUAGUGUCAGAAAAUUAUGAAAAUUUGAAAAUAUGUCGGAAUUAUUUUUCUGAGGGGUUAAUUACACCAAUUGUCCCUAACCUUUACACUUUUUCAAUUUGGUCCCUAACCUGUUUUUUUUGCAAUCAAGUCUCUAAUCUCUUGAUUUCAUUUCAAUUAAGUCCCAGCUGUUAGAUAGCUGUCAAAAUUGACGGAAAAUGCCACGUUAGUGCCACAGAGGCGUCAUGUCAGUGCCACGGAGGCGUUGUAUUAGCGCCACGGUGGCGUUGUGUCAGCGGAUUGCAAAAAAAAAGGUUAGGGACCAAAUUGAAAAACGGUGCAAAGGUUAGGGACCAAUGGUGAAUUAACCCAUUAAAAUUAUAAAUUCAAAAAAAAAUUUAAUUUAAGAUUUAAAUUUUAAAUUUAAAUUUUGAUUUUGGAUUCAAAUUUAAAUUGGAAUUCAAAUUCGGAUUUUGUAUUUAUUUUAAAUUUUAAAUUUUAAAUUCAAAUUCACAUUUGGAAUUCUAAAUUCUAAUUUAAUUUCAAACUUUGAUUUGAAAUUUCAAAUUCAAAAUGUGAAGUUUAAAUUCAAAUUUAGAAUUGAAAUCAAAUCUUAAAUUCAUAUUUAAAUUUUGAGUUCAAAUUUAAAAUUUAAAAUCAAAAAUUUGAAUAUGAUUUUAAAUUUAAAUUUGGACUUUAAAUUUAAAUUUCGGUUUCAAAACUUUCAUUUUAAAUGUAAAUUGAAAUAUCAAAAUCAAAAUCAAAAUUUUAAGUUUGAAUUCAAAAUUUAGAUUAAAUUUAAAAUUUAAAUUUAAAAUUUGAAUUUCAAUUCAAAAUUUUAACUCAGCUUUAAAUUCAAAUUCAAAAUUCUAAUUUCUCGUUAGUUUAAAAUUUUAAUUUUAAUAUUAUUUUUGAAUUUAAAUUUAAAAUUUUGAAUUUUUAUUUUUAGGGACUAAAAUGAAAAACGUGCAAAGUUUAGGGACCUAAAUUAACAUGCAAAAAGGUGCCAAAUAGGCGCUGACGUGGCGAUUUCGUUAAUUUUAAUAGUUUUUUAAUGGUUGGGACGUAAUUAUAAUAAAAUCAAGAGAUUAGGGACUCAAUUGCAAAAAAAAAAAGGUUGGGGACUCAAGUGAAAAUUGCUGCGAAGGUUGGGGACUACCGGUGUAAUUAACCCUUUUUCUGAGGCUGGAUUUAAAGUUUCGUGUCAUUCGGACACUUGGAAAGUAGAAACGGAACAUAACAAUAAUUUGAUAAAGAUUUUAGUUGGUAGACCUUUCGGUGACAAAAAAUGAUUCAAAACUGAAAAAUUAAGAUCACGUUCUUCUGAUUGAUUUUAACUGAGUUUGACUUUCAAAUUUGAGCGUAAACGGACAUUCGGAAGGGCUCCAAUUAAAAGUAUCAGAUUCUGAACUGGACUAAACUGUAAGUUGUAGUUGUUGGGGGGCCUAUAUGUAAGCCCACACCAUCUCUCCCUGGUUUUGCCCAACAUGUGUGAGAGUGGAGAAGAUUCUCUUUCUCUUUCUCUCCCACACACACCUACAACAUGAGAGCUUCUCUCUCUUUCUCUCAAACCCUCUACAUUUUCGCUUUAGGUAGGCUUAAAUUUUCAAACCAGUAGCACAUUAAUGGAUUAAGUAAACUAAAUAUUCCAUUGUUAGUGGUUAAGUCAAUUAUUUUUGUGAGUAAAUUUAAUAAUUUUUAAGCUUUCAUGAUUUCUAGGUCGGUUUUGCUGAAUUAUUGGAAUGAAUUCUGACAAACCAAUUUAGUUGCGUAAAUAUAAAUAUUUUCGAAAUAUGAAAGUAAUGUGCUAGUAUUACAAUUAGCCAACUAAAAUUACCUAAUCCAAUUUAGUUAGAUAAAUAUUGGGCCCAAAAUUAAGCUACUUACACCACAGCAAAUUUUCUUAGACUUGAAAGCUGAAAUGUGGUAAAUAUAUGUUGCUAAAUUACACUGCAGGGCCUUAAAUUAGAAAUUUAGAUGCAAUUCGCUAUCAAAUUUUAAUCUACCAUAUUUCCUAGGUUGGUUAAACUAUUAUAAUAUGACAGAUAACGACUUAAGGCAUACAAUUGCAGACAGUUGUGUAAUUAUUGAUAUUUUAUGUAAAAAAAUAAAAGUUAUGCAAAUCGCUCGUACGUUUUAUUUUUUCUACCCAAAAUUUGAAUUCCAUUGUAUGCUUAAUUAUUGAAGUUGUUUGGUUAAAUGGCGAAUUAUUAGCGAUGAUAUUAUCAGUUCAAAAAAAUCGAGUUUAUCUCUGAGUCCGAGUGCAGUGCAAACACAGAGACAUAAUGUUUUUUUUUUUAUUUAUCUGGUCAAGUUAGCAGUUCUGAGCAUGCAUCAUGUAGGUUCUUGAAGUCUAAGUUCAUAAUUGAAUUCAAACCCGCACGGCUACUGCAAACAUGGCAUCCAAUUUCUAUCCCAACUAUGCCGAUCUAGAAAUUUUUUCUUUCAAAUAAGAUCACUCUAUAAUUUACUGCACAAAUUCAAUUUGAUGAUAAGAAAGAAAGCAAAAGGACAAGGAAUAUUCUAUGUACUAUGGGAAAUUUUGUAAGAGAAAAGUUUAUCUUGUGUGUGAGAUAUUAUUUUUAUUGGACUUAGAGAAGUAAAAGGCAAUUUAGAAAUGAUUCACGGUGAAAUUGGAAUGAAAACAGGAGAUUUAGAAUUUUCUGUAAGGAACGGAGCUUUUUUUUAGCAGAAAAUUCAGUGUCAGAAAAUUUGAAAAUUUGAGAGUAUGUCGGAAUUAUUUUUCUGAGGCUAGAUUAAAGUUUCAUGUCAUUCGGACAUUCGGAAAGUGGAAACGGAACAUAACAACAAUCUGAUAAAGAUUUUAGUUGGUAGACCUUUUGGUGGCCAAAAUUGAUUCAAAACUGAAAAAUUAAGAUCACGUUCUUCUGAUUGAUUUUAACUGAGCUUGACUUUCAAAUUUGAGCGUAAACGGACAUUCAGAAGGGCUCCAACUAAAAGUAUUAGAUUCUGAACUGGACUAAACUGUAAGUUGUAGUUGUUGGGGGGCCUAUAUGUAAGCCCACAUCAUCUCUCCCUUGUUUUGCCCAACACGUGUGAGAGUGGAGAAGAUUCUUUCUCUCUUUCUCUCCCACACACACCCACAACAUGAGAGCUUCUCUUUCUUUCUCUCAAACCCUCUACAUUUUCGGUUUAGGUAGGUUUGAAUUUUCAAACCAGCAGCACAUUAAUGGAUUAAGUAAACUAAAUAUUCUAUUGUUAGUGGUUAAGUAAAUUAUUUUUUUGAGUCAAUUUAAUAAUUUCUAAGCUUUCAUGAUUUCUAGGUCGGUUUUGCUGAAUUAUUGGAAUGAAUUCUGACAAACCAAUUUAGUUGCGUAAAUAUAAAUAUUUUCGAAAUAUGAAAGUAAUGUGCUAGUAUUACAAUUAGCCAACUAAAAUUACCUAAUCCAAUUUAGUUAGAUAAAUAUUGGGCCCAAAAUUAAGUUACUUAACUCACACCACAGCAAAUUUUCUUAGACUUGAAAGCUGGAAUGUGGUAAAUAUAUGUUGCUAAAUUAUACUGCAGAGCCUUAAAUUAGAAAUUUCAACGCAAUUCGCUAUCAAAUUUUAAUCUACCAUAUUUCCUAGAUUGGUUUUAUAAACUAUUAUAAUAUGACAGAUAACGACUUAAGGCAUACAGUUGCAGACAGUUGUAUAAUUAUUAAUAUUUUAUGUAAAAAAAAAAAGUUAUGCAAAUUGCUCGUACGUUUUAUUUUUUCUACCCAAAAUUUGAAUUCCAUUGUAUGCUUAAUUAUUGAAGUUGUUUGGUUAAAUGGCGAAUUAUUAGCGAUGAUAUUAUCGGUUCAAAAAAAUCGAGUUUAUCUCUGAGUCUGAGUGCAGUGCAAACACAGAGACAUAAUAUAUAUAUAUAUUUUUAUUUAUCUAGUCAAGUUAGCAGUUCUGAGCAUGCAUCAUGUUGGUUCUUGAAGUUUAAGUUCAUAUUUGAUUUUUCCUUCCUGAAUUCCUUUGUGUGUGCGUGUCUUGGGUUAGGUAAAAAUGUAGAGAGAGCGGAAGGAGAGAUGACAAUUUUAAUUGGAGAGCAAAUACAUGCCCUCUGGACAAGAGGCCAUGUGAGCACAUGUGUGCGUGUGUUGGGAUGGAAAGAAAUGUAGAGAGAGGGGGAAGAGAGAGGGGAUGUAAAAUAGGCAAGUACAUGGCCUAUGGAUAUUGAGUCCAUGUGGGACCAUGUUAAAGGGAAGAGAGGCCAUGUGAGAGAGAGAAAAUUCAUAUGAAAAAAUGGCGACGUGGCUCGAUGGAGGUACGUCGUUUGUUUUCUCCUUAAGUAUAGAGUUUAAUAUCACGAUUUGUGCUUUUUCGGAUUUAAUAAUCAAGACCUACUUAUUACCCCCUGAUUUAUUAGAAAAUCAUUCCCUUUACCCUCUUAGAGGAGAGUAAGCUACUAAUAUUUUAUAGUUUUAGGGGUUUGUUUGUAGGUUUUGAUUCUCCAUUGGGGACGGGGUCAAAUUGCAAUAUAGUCACUGGGGUUAUAUGUAGGGGUGAAAACGGUUGAAUACGGUCGGAUUUUGACAAAAUCAUAUUUAUAUCCAUAUUUUCUUUCGGAUGCGAAUUCGGAUCCGGUUUUGUAUCGGAUGCUAAAUUUUCAUUACCAUAUCCGCUAAAAACGGAUUCGUAUUCGGAUAUGGAUCAUAUUUGUAUUCGGAUAUUAUUUCAAUAAUAAUAUAUACUAAUAUGUAUGAAUUAGCGUGAAUAAGAUACAAUGCAACUAAAGUUCUAUACUCGUGUUCAAAUUUGAUGCCUAUAUUUUAUUCAAUAAAAUCUAACAAGAUUAAAUGCAAUUUUAGCAUGAAACUUAUAAUAAAAUAAACGAAGAACACGACAGAAAACCACCUUUAUCUCCCUACAAUUUAUAUUAACAUUGCCCCUUAUCUCAUAGGGGUGAAAUGGUCGAAUAUGGUAGGAUUUUUGACAAAACCAUAUUCGUAUCCAUAUUUUUUUUUUCGGAUGCGAAUUCGGAUGUCCGAAUUUGUGUCUGAUGCUAAAUUUUGACAUCCGUAUUCGCAUCCUAUUGAAUCCUGUGUUGGAUUUGAUCGAGGUUUUUCUUAACCACUUUCACUCCUAGUUAUAUGCCUUUAGAGAUGGUAAAGUUGUAUCUUACUUGUUUUGGUCAUGAAUUGCUUAUGCAAAUAGCUCAUUAUUUUUUUCAUUUAUUUGUUCUUUAUCCUUUUUUCUGUCCCUUUCAACUUUCAAGGGAGAGAAUGUAUUUCUAUGAUGUUAUUUCAUGCCUAUCAAGUAGAUGAUGGCUAAUCGUUGUUUGCGGUACCUCUUGAUUGUGCAUGUUUCUGUUCAAAAUUCUUUUAUUUUACAAAUAGUUCCUAAUCCUAUGGAGUUGCUAUUUAAGCUCCACAUAUGCUCAUAAAAAUCGAUUAUUUGAAUUUAUUAGGUUUAAUUUUGGGUAAAUUGAACUACUGGUCCCUGCACUUUAGUCAAGUUUCGCUUUAAUCCUUUUUUUUACUUUUAAUUUGGACAUUUGGCAUUCCAAACUUUUAGAAAUGCUUUACAUAGUCCUUGCCUUAAGAGGAAAAUUUAUUGCCCACAUAUACAUCCAUGCACUAGAAUCUGUUAAUCCUCCAUCCAUCUGAUAGUUUAGUCCAACCAUCAAAGUUUAAAAUAGAGAAAAGGCUGCAUAUCAAGUUAUCAACUGAUGGCAGAUGUUGGGAUCGAGGGUUGAUGUACAGCAGUAUUGAUGUACAAAUGCACUGGUUGCAGAUUAUAAUUCUUCCUCUAACAUUUUCAAAAGUUUGGGUUAUCAAGCGUCCAACUUAAAAGUUCGGGGACCAAAAUAAAUCUUUGCUAAAUUUUGUGGACUAGUAGUGCAAUUAUCCUUUAUUUUAGGUAAACUUGAUCAUGUUGUUGGGUUCGCUGAUAAAAUCGUACUUCAAUAUAUGUUAGGAACUGUUUUUUUUCUGCACCAAAGUUUGCCGUACACUGGCAUGAGGCUUUCAGUGUCCCACUGGCACGGCAUAGCAUGUCGGCAUGCUUCGGCACAGAUCUUCUUUUAUAUGUUGGCACAAGUAGCAAAGCAGCACAUGCCUACUGCCACAGAAAUUCUUGAUCUGCACAAAUAAAUAAUUAGAUUUUACGUUAUUUCGGAUGAUCUUUUUUUAUACAUGUCUUGGUUUCCUGAAUGCUUCUAUAUUUUUAUGUAUCAACCGCUAUAAUUAUAUGAUUAUACAUUGUAGUUAUCUUUGAGUAGGUACACUUGAGGGAUUUUCAUUUGAUUCGGAUGAGGAGGCUGACAAAGUGCCAAAGUCGUCUGGCCUUCAAAACGAUCAAAACAAUGAAAAUGGAGAUCAACCCAAUAACACGAAGACCAAAAGGAAAGCUGAUAAAUCAUCGGUAUGUUUUGAAGCCCAUCCAUAGUUUUGCUGAUCGUCUUAUUUCCUUGUGAAAUUCUUUGAGGGGGCAUUGAAAAAGUAAAUCUUUAGAUGUUUCUGAAAAACUUUAUCCUUUGGAAUUUGUCGUGAUCGGCCCUUUCUUUCUGGUUUAUAAGUUUCUUAAAAAUUAUCUUCAGGAAUCGAACAUCAAGUCUCUUAAUUGGUAAAUAAAUAGGAAUGAUGGUACGUGCCGACAUAUGGUUACUUUUUAAUGCUGCUUCUUGCUUCUAGUUUAUGUAAUGUUGAAAUAUCAAAUGCAUAAUGAUUAUAGUUUGGCUAUUCAAUAAUGCACAAUAUUUUUUUUUUUAAUUCUUUUAAAGACUUGAUGUGGUUAAAAUUUUUUGAGAUACUUCUACAUAUAAACAGAUUGAAACCAGCAGGUCUAUAAUGACAUAGAAUUUAACAGCUACUGACUUUUGAUAAGGUAAAAAAUGCUCCCCUAUUCCGCCGUGGAAAAACUAUUAUUUCUUUUAUGUAAAAUGUAUAAAACUUGCCUGAACUAUAGACUAUUUUGAUUCGACUACCCAACAUUUCAAAAUUUUAAUUAUAGUACACAACCUUUCAAUUUGUUUGAUUUAAGUAAUUUGAUGGCUCUUCAAAUGCAAAAUUUAACCCGACUGCUUAUUUUAAUGAAUUUAUAGUUACGUAAUUUGUAUAAAAUAUACUAAAUAAACCCGUAAAGAUAAACGGUGCUUUCAAAUUUUGACUUUAAAAAGUCACUAAUUGGCUCAAAUCAAAUAAAUUAAAAGGUCAGGUAGUAAAAUCAAAAUUUUUGAAGGUUCGGUAGUCGGAUCCAAAUGGGUGAUAGUUGAGUUAAUGUUUAAACAUUUUUACCUUUCUUUCAUCUUGAAAAUUAGGGUGGAGGUCUUUCGGAAUUUUCCUUUGGGUAAUGAUUACUUUGAAUUCCAGUCUUUUGUGUCUGAGGGAAUUGCUUCUAUUUGGCCAUGAAAGUUUUUAUUGACUUAUUCUUAGAUGCUUAUGAAUGAAUUUUCACCAUUAGGUCACUAUAACAGUUUAUUAAGGUCGAUUUAAAAGAAAAAUACCACUGCUCAUGGUGACUAACAGUGAAUGAAACAUGCAGGGUCCGGUGCAUAAGAAGGCAAAAAAAGUGGAAAGACCAUCAACUAAAAAAGCAGUAAAGAAACAUCAAGCUGUGAAGAGAACAAAGAAGUCGAAGAAAUGAGACUUUCACAUGGUUUUUAAUCAUGCAUCUUAUUUCGAUCAUUAGAGGAAAACAUUCGGUUCGGUUUCUUUCUACCAUUUAUUCUUCGACGGUCCGCAAUUAUUGCUAGUGUAUUACACCGUGUAUCGUAUCUGUAUCAUAUCUUUCUUUUCACUGAAUUAUAUAUUCUAGUAGUAUUACAUUGUUUAUAUAUCAUCUUGACAAUCAGUGACUCAGAAUCUUUGAUAUUUAGUCAUCUUGACAAUCAAUGACUCAUAAUCUUUGAUAUUUAGUCAAAAAGCAUUAGUUGCUUCCGCUUUGUAAUCGUGUCUGACGUUUUGAAACUUCCUUUCUUCCCAUCAUCAUAGAAAAAAAUACCUUCCAAUAUUUGCGGUGAGCGCAUGCGGUUGUAUGUUUAUUGCAGUUCUUAUAUAUGUAUAUUUUUUCCAAGUAUGGGACAUUGAAACUUCCUGUUCCCUCUGCCUAUUGCUCUCUCUUAUUCAGAUAUUGUUUUCUUUAAUUCUUCAGAAUAAAGUCUGCGAAAAGUAAUUCUUUUACUUACAAGGAAUUGCCAAGACAGCAUCCGUCAUGAACUGAUCCUAUCAAACUCAAUUCUAGGCGGCUUCAAUGUUAGAGGUUGUUUGGUUGCAUGCAGAUGCUAUUUCAUUGCCGAGUUAAUUGUAUGCAAAUUCAAAUACGGUAUUCGAAUACAGAAUUCAAUUGUUGCAGUUUAAAUUGUAUCCAAAUUGGUUGUAGUUCUAUCCACUGCAAUUAUCGAACAGUUGAAUCACUCAAAAAAAAAAAAAAAAGUUUAAAAAGAUAUCUUCAAGCUACCGAACUACUUAUUUGGCCCCCAAAUCAGUCGAUGUUCCAACAACAUCUUCUUAAAGGACUAUAUAUCCAAAACAAGCCUUCUCUAGUCAGUUCUCCGAAAUUGCAUAAUUUUAGUUAAUGAGAAUGCAUUGUUCCACCACAACCCUUAGAAUAAAAGACAAGAUGUUAAUGAAAUGGUGUUGGAAACGGGCUUUUUUUGCAAAUAGACCCCUGACAAAAUUUUAUUUUAAAAUUAGCCCUAUCAAAUUUGAAAUUGCAAAAAUGAUCCUACUCCUGCCAGCAGGCGUUACGUCAGCGCCACGCGGGCAAGCUGGGGCCAGGUAUGUAAGUUGAACACAGUGAACCAUUCACCGUGUUCAAACACGGUGAAUGGUUCACCGUGUUCAAUUUAAACAACCUGGCCCCCGCCAAGCCCAGGGCGUGGCGCUGACGUGGCGCCCGCGUGACUGGCCCAGGGCCAUUUUUGCAAUUUAAAUUUUGACAGGAUCAUUUUUGAAAUAAAAUUUGUCCAGGGGGCUAAUUGCAAAAAAAAACCCGUUGGAAACCUUCUGCUGGAGAAGCAUCAAGCAAGACGCUUCUUCCAUGGAGGUUCCUACCGACAUUUUGUAGCGCUGAAGGAGUGGAGCUUUCAAUAUAUAAAUAUAUAUAUUUUUUAAGCUCUAAAGCAUUAAAUUGAUUGCAUUUUAUUACUCACUCCCAUACAAGGACCGAGCCAUUGGCAUAAUGUCACGGCCUUAGCAUUUUUACUCGCAAAGUCCGUGCAACGUCUGCUUUCCUCCUCAAAAAUAGACAAGCCUAACUCGCUAUUGCUAAUCUAGACCUCCAUGCCCUACGACUAAAUAUGCAAAAAGUGACUACAUAUGCAAAAACGAGAAAAAAGAGAGAGAGAGUGAUUCCCAAAAAAUUAAAUACUCCGCCUAUUUAGAAAAAUAGAACUACAAUACACAACUACUCUUCUUGUUUCCUCCUUAGCCUUAGCCAACCCUCUAUUUAUUGAUACAAAAUAUAUUGAACCUAGCCUAUAAUAAUUCACCCACUAAGCAUAUAUUAACUCUCUCACUAUCACAUAGUAAAAUAACUCUCAUGAACGUAAGGUGAUCUUAAAGGUUGCGCGUGACUUUUUCUCGAUAGUUUUGGAGCCUUUAUAUCCAGCAAUUACAUAUCCUUUUAUUUCCCACAAUGGCUGCUGGUUUGAGUCUCUUUGACAGCCCGUUCAGCUAGCGAAGUUGCUAUGCUAGGGACUUGGCCGAGCUGAAAUUUUCCUACGUCCCUGACAAUAAGGUACGCAAAGCAUAUUUACAGUCCAAACAUGAUAUCGAACUCAUAAUGGUGUUUUCAGAUCUUCCUCUGCACAAACAUUUUACUGCAAGGUUAGCGAGCGUUUACAAACCUCUACACAAUAACAACUAAAUAUACAUGAACCUCAGCAGGUUUUCGACAAAGCGCAGCACACGGCAAAAAACAAGAAUUUAUUGCGCGUCUCAUUGCCCGGUCACCAGCAUCUCUAAGGACAAACAAAUUGUAUGCAAGAGAGAGGCAUUCAUAAACCCACAACCCAAAAUAAUCUAAAAGUUCACUUCACAAUUUACCUAUUUCGAGAUGAGAAAAGGAUGUGCAUUUAUAGACAAACAAAGGAAAGAAUUAGAGUAUGUCUUAUUUAAAAAAAGAAAUUUAAAAUUGUUUUAAUGUCAGAUCAAACUAGAAGUGCCUUGGAGAGGAGGAGCGCCGCUCUGGGGUGAAAACCCUGUGAAUGGAUCGCUGAACGGAUUGGCCGGUGCAACGGCCUGGGGAUGUUGAGGGUAGUUAGGUUGAUGAUAAGGAUGCGGCGUCAUGUUCAUCGUCAUCGUCAUGUCAUGUUGCUGUUGAGCCAUCAUAGACAUCUGUACGUUGGUCGGAGGUGCAAUGCUAUUGGACAUCGCGAACGGGUCGUGCGGCUCGAAAGGAUUGGUGGCGGCCGGGCCACCAUAUGUUGCUGUGGUUUGUUGUCUUCUUGCACCAUCGUCGUAUAAGCUAUCAAGCAGAAGCUUAUCGAAGCCACCAGCCUAGUUGGACGAAAAGGCCAAACAUUAUCAAGACAGUUAAAACUAUACUAAUGAGUCAAACAGAAAAAGAAAUCCUUCUUACUACCCAACAAAGAGAGAGAGAGAGAGAGAGAGAGAGAGAGAGAGAGAGAGAGAGAGAGACUUUGAAAAACUCUUAGGACCAACCUGCUGCUUCAGUUACAUGACCAUGUCGCACAAUAUCAAAUGGUUAAUGCACAGCUUUGAACGACAGUUGCAUUCUUUGCCCGAUGAAAAAUUUUGGAUCACUUCUUAUGGUCUAGGAAUUUUGACUACUCAGUUGAUUCAACACCACUCCACUACAUGAGCAUUUCAGAAUGUAAAUUUCUUCCUUGAAAUUCAGAGAAAGAAAGACUACAUCCAGAAACUGUAUCUCAACCAUUCAAAAUUGUACACUGUUGUCCUGAUUUUUUUCCCUAAAAGUUGAAAAGUGGGCAAAGGUUUCAAAAUGAAAGUGCUUAAUUUUUCUUGCAAAUACAAAGUUAUAUACUUCUUCUAUUCCAAUAAAAGGCCAAUGUUAUAAGAAAUGGAGGAAAAAUGGAAAGGAGGUUACUUUAAAAAGACAUUUCAUCACGUAUUUUCUUCCUAUGCAAUGUGCUAAAAGGUACCAAAAUGGGCCAUUCCGAGACUACUCUGUAUUUGUUCCUAAGGAAUUCGGUUCUAUGGGUUCCAAUACCAAAUUUAAUGCUUCAUGCUCGUAUAAUCUAGCUACUACAUUUUUGAAAUACUUUUCAUAAAUUUAGCAGCGUUUCGUCAUUUAGAUUAAUAAUAAAUACUCGUAUGCAGAAAUCUGCUUCUAACAUCUACUUUAUUGACACGUAUGUAUCGUAGAUAAUAGAAUUAGGUAAUCACUUAAUACCGCUCCUCUGUUCGAGGGCAGAGAUGACUUUGAGAACUUCUUCUUUGAGAGGAAGAUCAUCACAUUCUCCUUAAGAUAUUAUGAUCUACAAAAUAAACCCCUACUUCUCUCAUACUUCACAGUGAAAAGAGGAGAGGAUCCAUUUAUAAUUCAUGCCCUUUAACGAGAUCAACCAAAUAAACUCACCAACAAGAGGAGAAAGGCAGAAACAAAAGAGAUAGACAUAAACUAGAAGACCAGUUUCGGUGACUAGCUGAUUGUAGAUAGGAGCUCUUGGGUUUCAAACAUUCAAAGAGGACGCCCAACCAGUCGACCGGGUUAGUCCACCUCUAGCCAGGAAUGUUCGUGUGAUAAACUCACCUAUAAAGUAGCAAGUUGGUUUAAUAAGUUAAAGGUUUUUUAGAACAAAAUACACUACAAGUCGUCCCAAAAAGUCGCAAGAAAAUGGCACUUGUUGGCCUGUAAGGUUGAAAUUUGCUCUUUGUACAAAUUACUGCAACUUUCAAGAUAUCAGCAGGUGAAGUAUCAGAACAUUAUGUUGUAGUGAAACUAAAAAAAAAAGGAAAAAAAAAGUCAAUCAAGCGUACCAGUUUGCUCUCAGUCAAUUGGUUAUUGUUGUUACUUGCUGACGACACUAAAGCUAAUUCCCAACCAGAAGAAUCAGUUGCACCACCAAAAAAGCCACUGGUACUAGCUGCUUUGGAACUGUCCCCUGCAAACAACAUGUUGCACUUAAUAGUUAAUACCAACAUUAAAUGAGCUCAUCACUGAUACACCAACUAUCCGAAGAAACAGAAGGUUCUAAAGCUUCUAGUUUCUUGGCAUAUUGAAUUAAAAAAGCAAAAAUGCUCAGUAGAAUUUCAGAUAGACUUUAAAAAAAGCAAGACUUUAGAUUUCAAGUGAAUAUUUCAAGAAUAUAAAUGUAUUAUUAACUACAGAAUCACCUGAUGGAAUGAUAGCCAGAGCCAGUGCAUUACUUUCUUCAAGUUCAGCAGCAACAGGGUUUAUUUCGUCCAAACCCUGCAUGAUCACACACAAGAUGAAUUUAUUUCUAUAUGAUAAAAAGUCCAAAUAGUGAGAAAUAGAUGAAGGAUAAAAUACUCACCAACAGAUCAGCUGUUGUUGCAGUUUGAGCUGCAAUCUCAACUGUAGUAGUAGGCUGUGGUUGUUCUUCGGGCUCAACAAGUGUAGGUUUUUCAUCUUCAAUUGUAGGUUCUUUUAUACUCUCUACAGGAGGAAGAGGAGAUGAUUCUUCUUCCUGUGUCACUAAGUUACUCUUCUGAUAUUCCUGUUUCAACAGAAUUUAGUCCGAUAAACACUUGAAUUUUAUUCUAUGCUACACAGAACCAACAACUGACCGACCCAAAACGUAUGUAUGAAGAGUUACGAGAUGCAUAGAAGUUUUAAAUUACCCACACCCCCUAAGAAAAAAAGCAAGUCCACUCUGUAAGGACUCCACAUUGGCAAGAGUUAAAAGACUCGGGAGAAGGAUAUAAAUGUCUUUCUGUACAUUUUUACGAAUUUCUAACAGGUUACAAAUAAAAUAUUCACAUCUUCCACGAGAAAAGGAAUUCUUAUAUGCUAAAUUGUAUUCGACCAAAAGUUCAUUUGUUUAUUACAGAAGUCAUAAUUCCAAAAACAAAAUACAAAUCAUUGACCACUUACUACGCUGGGCUAUAGUCAAGAUGAACAUAAAUAUGCACAAUAUACUGACACAAUUUCGAUAGACAGCAGGAAGAAAUAGAGCUGGUAGCAGGGAAAACUCCUUCAACCCCUUUUUGCAAUCCGUUAAUGUCAAACUAUGCACAAAUACAUAUUCAUGGUUUACUGAAAAUCAAGAAGGUACAAAUCCAGUGAAUAACUUAUUAGUCCAAAACAUAUUCACUUGUAUAGAUUAACCUAUAUAUAGAAGUGCAAUAGCAAUUUAGGCGCCCAACAUGCACGUGAUAACUAUAACACUGAGAAGUCUUUUUGCAGAGUGACUUUUAAAUCACAAGCCAUUUAAUCAUUUCUAAAGAAAAUAUAUACCAGUGAAGGCUCCAAAUGCAUCUAGCACAAGGAUGCUUACGAUGCUAACUUUCAUGCUUAAAUCAACAUUUGUUCAAAUUCUAUUACUCACAAUGGCCUUAUUUGAUACAGAGCCGGUUCGAGGUGCUUCUCUUAUGUAUUCUUCCAUCGUUGCGAGAAAUGAUGGAGGCGGCUGAAGAAAGUCAGCAUGGAAAAAAAAGAACAUCAAUUUUCGAAUAAGAAUGUAACAAAUUUAUUCUAUCAAUUCAAAUGCGAAUAACCACAAUGCUAGACCUCUUUAAGAAUUGGAAACUGGAAGUUCCUAGCAAGCUCCAAACCUCUGCAGAACUCAUAGAAGUCAGAAAGACUUUUUGCCUGUUGAAUAAACAGAUCUUCAGCACCCAGAAAAUUGAAAAAGAAACAGUUGGCAACAUAAUUCAGCAAAACCUCUCAACAAGAAUAUUUCCUGCCAGAAGAGACAUACCAGAUGGCCAGCUCUUUUGUAGAUGUCAAGAGCUUUAAUAGCAUCAAGUCUUGACAUGUCAAAGAACUGCAGUAUAUUAGUACUUAGUUAAGAGAAAAUCUACAGUGAUGGGAAAACUGGAAGAAAGAAGAAGGUCAUGGAGGUACCAUAUCGACAAUAUUGAUAAUCCCAUCGUUAAUUGCACAAUAGAUUUUGAAGCUCUCCUUUAAAACCUGAGUAAAAGGAGCAAUUCUAAGUACCCUGUUGUUUUUAUAGGAAUAAAAAUAACUUCACGACAAUCAAUUUCUUCAAGGAUAAAAGGAUUAAUGACAUGUGUGUGUUUAAUGAGGAGAAAUAGACUCCAAGAUAAAAUGGAUUUGUUUUCAAAUGCAGUCAGGCGGGACAUAUUAUUGAAUCAUCAUCAACAAUUGCUGAACUACAGGUUCAUCCAUGAAAAACUCAAGAUGUAAAAUAACCAAACAAUCAUAUGAAACCUGGCUAUUACGUUGACAGCAUUUGCAAAACUAAUAUAAACAAUACCAUCACUUUCCUGUAUAACUGGGGAAAAUUAAGCAGAGUUAUCACUACUAGAUAUUUGCCUUUAUACAUCAUUUUUUCUUCCAUCUCUGAGAGUAACAAAAGGAAGAGUUUUUUGUCAAUGGGUGAACAGAUUUAAUAAACUUUUAUACACUAAGGCGACUAGUGUUAAUAAAAGAAGUUAAACAACGGAAUUAAAAAAAUCUAUAGAACAUAUAAAUAAAUUAACCAGCACAGUAUUAACUGGGAAAGAGUAUUGAACAGAAAACAUCAUAAUAUCCAGUGCAAGUAUAGCCAAGAAUAAGCAGUAGUAAUCCUUGUUUGCGCAUGACAAUUACUAACAUUCCUAUUCAUGCAACUCCAGUGAGAAUGACAAUCAUGAUGAACUUGGAUGAUAUAGUAACUGUUUAUGACUAGUAUAACGGUUAAACUAAUAGAGCAUAUGGCUUUGAUUAAAGAAUCAAGCUACUUCACGCAUUACAUUUUACAAGGCAACAAAGCUUGUUAGCAAAUAAAGUAUGUUUUCAUUAACAACAAAACAUUACAGGUUACUGACAAAGGCCAAAAGUUUACAACUAUCACAAGCAAAAUAAUGCUUAUGAAAAGAUGAUGCAUUUUUUACCAUUUAAAUACUACAUAACUAUACAGGCUCAGACCUAAUAAAAGGGAGAGAGUAAUAAUGUUCUUUGAGACACGGUAAGUUCGCAACCAAUAAGAUGGAACAUAGCAGGACAAGAGGACAUACCAGAGCUAGUGCAUAUUGUACAAGAUAGUUCCCAAAAGCAGCUCCUUCAGGCUGCAAUAUUCAAAUAAGUCAGCAAGCAAGCUAUUAUCCAGAAAACAAAAAACUAAUCAAUGACCAGAAAACAAAAGACUAGUCAAUGACCAGAAAACAAAAGACUAAUCAAUGGGAAGUUUCACUAGUUUAUUUCUUUAAGAGACUCACCAUCAACCAAUAAAAGGAACAGAAAGUGGAAGUGGCAAUUUACUACCUGGCAGCCAACGAGGCGGAAAAGCAACUGCUGCAAUGCAGGCAGCUGUUCUAGAAGAUCCUCACAACUUAAAUGCCUUGUCCUACUAUGCCCCUUAAAAUUUCAUGAAAAUAAAAGAAAAGAGAAAUAAAUAAAGAGAAGAUCAGCAAUAGCUCCAUCAAACAAACUUUUUGAAAGUGAAGAAACACACCUUAGAAGACCCUUCUGUGGGUUUCGCUAAUCGUUCUGCUUCAAUAUCAUAUUUUAAGACCCUAAAGCACUCAAGUCGUUCCUCCAAGAAUAGUGCAUAUGUGCGAACCCAUGCAGAGCAAUCCCAAGCUAGAAGAAAAUUCUAAACAAUUCAGAAAUAUGAAUUUCAAGAUAAUUUACUUGCUAAACCUGCCUAUACUGCAGAGAAAACUGUGAAAGAACUUUUGCUGCAAAAUUUCAGCAGACAACCCUACCUUGAGGACUAGAGUCAUCCUUGAAAUUGGAUAUCUGCAAAACAUGUCCCUUGUGUGAAUAGUUUAAUAGGUCCUCUCUAAAUGUCGGAUCACCCUCUCUCAAUAUCCUGUGUAUAACUAUCAAUGUUUUAAGAGCAACCUGUAGAUAUGUAAUCGACAUAAUCAUAUCUGAAAGAUGGAUAAAAUCAACAAACACUGUAAGAGCAUUAAAUAUCAAUAAAAUACACAAAGCAGUAUUGUACUUUUAUAAUUGAUAAUAAACAAGUUUUUUCAACAUUGUGACCUUAUAGGCCUAUUUGGAUGCGUAGAUCGCUCGUUCGGUUUAUGUUUUCUGUGUACUCGAGAGACAUUUGGUAAUUGGUUGGUGGGAAGAUGGAAAGAUGUCUGCAACUGUCAUGUUAUAUACAGCCUCUACAUCAUUCUAAAAUUAUGAGAUGAUAAAUCAUCUCAUAGGUGGAAUGUACUUCCCUGGAAAUUUGGAAUUGUUAAGAUUUCACAACAGCUAAAAAGAUAAAAAUCUUAGGCCAUAAUCACAUGAGAAAUCUCCGUAAGGCACAAGUAUUCCAGCAUAGCCUGGUUCAACAUCCAAAUCAGUCCUAUAUGUUCCAUAGUUGUCAAUCAGUUCUAGUAUGAAUUAUAGGCACUUCUCGUCAAAACAUCACCCCAGAACAAGCAACUUUGAUUAAAACAAAUAAUGGUCUGUUUUGAUUCAUGCUUUCUGCUACAAUAUUUGCUCCCUAGAAAAGAGGAAAUACACCUUUAUAGUCAAAUUAGUGGUGCAAAUGAGUCAUGAAAGAAAAGAUAUAAUACCCUAAUCAUAACAAAUAUUUGAGGACUAAGGGAAGUCUAAUGCCAACACCCUUACAGGAAAUUGAAGAUUUUCAUCUUUGUGUGAUGUAAAUCAAUACUUAAGAAACCAAAUGAGAAACAAGAUGGACAAUCAAAAUAUCAAUGAAAAGCGGCACCAGGUUAGUUAAAUGCGAGUAUUCUUGUUUGCAAAAAUCCAAAUAACUUAUUGCAGUAAAUUUUGCCAUACUAAAAUUCCCUCAAGUAAUGACUUGAUCGAAGCAAAAUUGAGCAGAUUAUAUAAGAACAUUGGCCAAUCCAAACUUAUCUUAACAAACUAGAAAAUUCAAUAUUUCCAAUCAGAUCCAAAUUAUUUUCAACUAGUAACAACUUUACAUUGUACAAAUUGUGCUAGUAACAACAAUCAGCAAACAUCUUUGCUCUCAGUACGUUGAAGAUGGGAUUGAACUUGACUAAGAAAGAUUUGAUACAAAGAUAAACACCUAGUAAAGUGACCAAAUCGUAAAGUCAACUCACUGCGACAAUAUAAGCAAUAAAGAGAUAGAUUGAUAGAGAAACAUACCACCCAGUUAUGAGUCUUAGCUAAUCUCCUCGCAAGCGUGUGCACGCAAUAAGAAACAUCCGUUCGUGGACGGGAGGCUGAGGUAGCAGCAAAUAACUCUGGACCGCACACAACAUGCAGAAAUUAACAAAUUUAGACAACUUAAUCCAGUUACACCAAAUGAGAAACAGCAAAAUAAUUCCUUACCCUACAUUCAAUAACUCAAAGUACAACAUCAAUCGAACUAACCCGUAAAAGAACUCAACUCAUAACCAAUGAAUUCUUGUUUAAUCACCGCAGCAAAAGAUCAAAACACAACCAAUUGUAUAUGAUUGUAAACAAACUUCCACAAAUCAUUGCCAACCCUAAAGAAAUCAAUGAAAUAACAGCAAAUUCUACUCAAAGCGCUACUCACUUCUAAUGUGCCGCUCCUUCGGCGGCCGCUCCACGUGGUUCGUGGCCUUCACUACAGCGAUAUCCAGAUCCUACUAGCAUCAAAAACAUAGUCAAAAGAGAGAGAAGGAUCGGAGAAGGGAGAGAAAGGGAGAGAGGGAGGGGAUCGGACCUUGAAUUCGCUGUUGACCUUGGCGAGGCUGACGGUGGUGGAGUCCUUGAUGGCGCCGUAGGCCUUGCGCCAGCUCUGGAGCGUCCCCAUUGCCCACCUCAAAACCCUAGCCCUAACCCUAACCCUAACCCUUAGCGACGGGGACGAAGAAGAGGAGGCGGAGGAGGGGAUCGCGGCGGUGAUCGUCACCGCCGCGAGGGGUUUUAUUUCGAAACUUCGUUAUUCUCCCUUCGCCUCCCUCCGUCGUUCGCUCUGCGUAGAGAAUUAAUUAAUAAAGGAAAAGGGUUAAUUUCAUAUACGUCCCUGUAAACAUCACAAAUUAUAAAUAUGUCCCUAUAAAGUUUAACUUUUAUAUAUAUAUAUUUUUUUAAAUUCUGAUAUUUUUAAAUAUGUCUCCGCUAUUAGAAUCCGCUAGAAAAAAUUAGUUAAUCAUAGGUAAAAUACUUAAUAAUAAUUAAUUAAUAAGCAUUUUUAACUCUCUUCAAUUAGUAAUUCUAUAUAUUUGUAAUGACAAAAAGGUCAUUUCACUUGUAAAAUAAAUAAAGCUUUAACGAUAAUAAACCAGAGAGACAUAUUUAAAAAUAUUAUGACUUUUGUAGGGACAAUAUAUGAAAAUUGAACUUUGUAGGAAUAUAUUUAUAACACACUGUGUUUGUAAGGACGUGUAUGAAAAAAAAAAAAGAAUAAAAUUUAUAGAUGGAUAGUCCCUGUCCUAUCCUGAUAUUAGGAUUCGGUCCCUGUUCUAUUUUUUUUGCUUGGAGUGUUAAUUGCGACAUUGAUCCCUAACCUUUACCCAUAUUUCCACUCGCUGCCUUAAAUAUUUUACUAUUGUUGAAUCUUAAUCAUUCAAGUACUUUAUUAAUUUUGACGGAACAUCUAUUGUUAUCGUUUAGUAGGUCCCGUCAAUAUUUUCAAAUCUAUUUACUCACCGUUUGGUACAGAUAUAAGCAAGAACUAGCUAUUACAGAGAUAGAUACAAAUAUGGGGAUAAGAAAAAUAGCAUUUUGAUAAAAAUUUGGUUGUUUCCGGGAAUAAAAAAAUAGCAUUUGUAUAGAUAAUAUGGAAUAAGAAAAAUAAUGGGUGGUUAUAUAUAAAAAUUGAAGGUGUUGGUGGAAAUAGUUAUACUAAAUUAUUUUAAGUACCUAAGAAUUACUAUUUUCGGAUAAAAAAAUUAGUGUUUGGAUAUAAAAGAUUAUUCCACCCCUUAUUCCCAAUCCAAACAUGUUAAAGAAAAAUUAUUUAAAUUUUCAAUUGAUUGCGCACAGUUUCAAAAAAAAAAAUAUAUAUAUAUAUAUUCAUGUCGAGAGUUCCAAGGCAUUUUCUUCAAGUAAAAUAUAGUCAUUUUAUUAAAAGGGUGGAAAGCAAUUACAUAUUUUUUAAAAAAUUCUAAUUUUUUCUAGGGUAAACUACAAAUUAUUUUUCUAUAAUUUAGCUCAUUUUUACUCUGUCACCUUGCGAUUUGAAAAUUUUCAACUUACUUUCUUGCGAUUUAAUUUUUAUUUUACAAAAAAAAAAUUAUAUAAAAUAGAAUGACAGAGUAAGAUUUUUUUUUUAAACUACAGAAUAGCAAAGUGAAAAAUAUAGUAAACUAUAGUGGGAUAAACUAUAAAGUAAAACUUAUUGAACCACAAGGUGGCAAAGUGAAAAUAAAUUAAACAAUAAGGGGGAGGGGGCAAAGUGAAAUUUUUUGGACCAUAAGGUGUGGUUACUACUAUUUUUUUUCACCUGUAUAUAUUUUCGGUUAUAAUUUGUUUAUAAUUAUAUUGAACUAAACGACUUCGAAGUAGAAUAGCGUAAGUAAUAAAAAUAGGCUAAAAUAUAGAAAAACUCUCUGUAAAUACUGUUUUUUCUCUUUUACUUUUUCUCUUGACUUUCAAAAAUUUAGAUUUUGCCCUCUUAAUAUUUUAGAAAUAUUUUUAGAGAAUUAUAGCGUUAAUGGAGAGGACAAAUUAAUCAAAUUAUCUUUACUUAUUUUAUAAGAAAAAAAAUAAUUUUUUUAGUAUGUUUUUGUUAUUUUUAAAGAUAUUUUUAAGAUAAAUUAUAAGAAAUAGAUAAAAUAGUGAUGGAAUCUUGAUGAAGGGGGAGCUGAAUAUAUUAACUAAAAAUUUGGAGAGGGUAAAAUAUGAUUUUUUGUAAGUAAGAAAAAAGUGAAAAGUAAAUAUUUACAGAAUUUUAUUUUUUGUAUUUUAGCUAAAAAAAAAGAAUUAAAAAAUACCACUAACAAAAAUGGACCUUUUUCAAAAUGACCCUGUAAAAUACUGUAAUUGGGCUAAUAAUCCUAAAAAAAAUUAAAUUUGGCAAAAGGAGGGUUAGUUUGCCAAAUUUAAAUUUUGUAGGGUUAUUAAUCCAAUUACGGUAUUUUACAGGGUCAUUUGAAAAAAAGUCCAACAAAAACAGUGUAAAGGAUCUCUUCUUAAAUCGCACAUAGUUGAGGGGUCUCUGUGCAUGUUUUAUCAACUUAAAUGCACCAAACAAAAUUUUUUUUUUUUUUCAGUGAGUUUUAUUAGACUUUUUAGUCGCAUAAAAAAUAUUAUCCGGGAUCGUACAAAACGGAAACAGUGGAUUUCGCGGGAUUUAGCUCUGCAGUGGUUAUGCUGAGCUGUAACUAGGUGGCCAAUCGUCUACUUCCACGUGGCACAACUUGAUUGGAUGACGUUUUUUUUUUUUGCUUAGUUAUGAAAACUCCGCAUAUUGCUCCGUGUCAAAAAUACUUUUUAUAUAAAAAAAAUUUAGGAACAAUUGCUUAUUGCUUCAUGCAAAGAUAUUAACUAGCUAAUAUAUCCUCAUAAAACUUAAGUUGGUAGAUUUAUCCUCCUAAAAAAAAUUUUCGUUUAUAAAUAUAAUUUUCUGUUAAUAAAAUUUAGAUAACUAUGAGGUAAAAAAACUAACCAAAUUAGCUAAGCGGUAAAAUAACCUUUUUUUUAUCCUUUAUAUAUAUAUAUAUAUAUAUAUAUAUAUAUAUAUAUAUAUAUAUAUAGAGUUGAGUUAGAUAGUAUCGACAGUAAACGAGCCGUUUUACUAUCGAUUUGUUUUCGAUGAUAGAGCUUCCAAAUUGACGAUCGGCUCCGUUAAUAUGAUCUAAACCAUUAAAACUAUCUAGAAUCAAAAUUCACGCACUUUCGAUAUUGUUCUUUAUCCAUCAAGUGAACAAAAAAAUAAAUGGUUGAAAAAUAAUAUUCUUUAAAAAUGAUGAUAGGAGUCUGUAAUCAAGAUCAAGAGUAUAGAUCUUGUUCUAAAUAGUUUAAAGAAUUUUCUAACAAAAUUCAAUUGAUUUGGAUAUCUUUACGUCGUUAAACGAGAAAACGCCUCUUAUCGACCAUUAAAAUUAUAAUUUUGAAACUCUUUGAUCAUUAGGCAAAUAAUGUCGAAAAGAUUUAAAAUUUGAUUUCUAAAACACUUCAAGUGUAAGAUCAUGUUCAAUGGAGCCGAUCGUCAAUUUGGAAGCUCUAUCCAUCGAAAAUAGGUAGUAAAACGGCUCGUUACUACUGAUAGUAUUCUAGCAAAACUCUAAUAUAUAUGAAUUGAGCUCCUAUACUUUGAAAAGUACCAGUCACUGUUACUUGUAGUUUUCGGCCCUUGGAUUUAAGGGAUGUGCGUUUAGGAUGAUGUGGGUCCUCUAGGGUUGAGUGGGUAGUUGGUUGAAUAGUAUAAUCUAACGGUUGAAAAUAAUUAAAGACGUAGAUCUAACGGUAAAAAUUUACAAGUACAAGUGCUUGGUGCUUUUACAAGCACCAUAGGCGGGACUCUAUAUAUAUUAUAUAUAUAAAUAUAUAAUAAUAUAAAUAUAUAUAUAUAUAUAUAUAUAGUAGGCCUCCGUGCUCCUAAGCCGAUCGUCGAUUAGAGAACCGAUCGUCGAUUCAGAUACUUCAUAAUCGAAAACGGCUUAGGAGCACGGAGGCCUCCGUGCUCCUAAUAGCACACAAGAAUCUACUCUAUAAAUAAUCAUAUAUAUAUAUAUAUAUAUCAUAAUAAUAUAUAUAUGUAUAUAUAUAUACAUACAUAUAUAUAUAUAUGUAUACAUAUAUAUAUAUAAUAUAUAUUACAUAUAUAUUAUAUGUAUAUAUAUGUAUAACAUAAUAUAUAUAUGUAUACAUAUAUAUACAUAUACAUAUAUAUGUAUACAUAUAUGUAUAAUACAUAUAUAUGUAUAUAUAUAUAUAUAUAUAUCAUAUAUGUAUGUAUAUAUAUAUACAUACAUAUAUGUAUAUAUAUAGUAUAUACAUAUAUAUGUAUAUAUACAUAUAUUGUAUGUAUAUAUAUAUAAUACAUAUAUACAUAUAUGUAUACAUAUAAUAUAUAUACAUAUAUAUAUAGUAUACAUUAUAUAUGUAUACAUAUGAUGUAUGUAUACAUAUAUACUAUGUAUACAUUAUACUAUAUAUAAUAUAUGUAUAUAUUAUAUUAAUAUAUAUGUAUAUAUAUAUACAUAUAUAUGUAUAUAUACAUAUACAUAUAUGUAUAUAUAUAUAUACAUAUAUACAUAUAUAUGUAUACAUAUAUUGUUAUUACAUAUAUGUAUAUAUUAUAUAUACAUAUUAUAUAUAUAUGUAUACAUACAUAUAUGUAUCAAUAUAUAUGUAUACAUAUAUAUAAUGAUACAUAUAUAUACAUUUAUAUUAUGUAUACAUAUAUAUAUAUAUAUAUAUAUGUAUACAUAAUAUAUAUAUAUAUAGUUGAGCUAGAAUACUAUCGAUAGUAAACGAGUUAUUUUACUACCGAUUUGUUUCGAUGAAAGAGCUUCCAGAUUGACGACCGCUCCCGUUAAAUAUGAUCUAAACCAUUAAACUAAGUAGAAAUAAAAUUUCUCGCACUUAUAUACUAUCUCAACUCUAUAUAUAGAGUUGAGCUAGAAUACUAUCGAUAGUAAACGAGCCGUUUUACUACCGAUUUGUUUUCGAUGAUAGAUUCCAAAUUGACGAUCGGCUCCGUUAAAUAUGAUCUAAACCAUUUAAACUACCUAGAAAUCAAAUUUUACGCACUUUUCGAUAUUGUUCUUUUAUCCAUCAAGUGAACAGAAAAUGAAGGCUAAAAAUGAAUAUUUUUUAAAAAAUAAUGAUAGGAGUCUUGUAAUCAAGAUCAAGAGUAUAAGAUCUUGUUUUAAAUAGUUUAAAGAAUUUUCUAACAAAAAUUCAACUGAUUUGGAUAUCUUUACACCGUAACGAGAAAACGCCUCUUUUCGACCAUUAAAAUUACAAAAUUUGAAACUCUUUGUCAUUAGGAAAAUGAUGUUGAAAGAUUUGAAAUUUGAUUUCUAAACACUUCAAGUGGUAUAGAUCAUGUCAACGGAGCCGAUCGUCAAUUUGGAAGCUCCAUCAUCAAAACAAAUAGGUAGUAAAACGGCUUGUUUACUACCGAUAGUAUUCUAGCAGAACUCCUAUAUUAUUAUAUAUAAUAUAUAUUAUAUAUAUAUAUAUAUAAGUACAUCACUCGUACUUUCGAAAGUACGAAAACCUCCGUACUUGUAAGUUAUUUCUAUGAUAGGAAUCCGAUUUGACGAUCGCUUCGUUAAGUAUAAUCUAUCAUAUUGGAAUGUUUAGUAACCAAAUUUUAUAAUUUUUUGACAUCAUUUACCAAGCGAUCAAAAGGUCUCAAAAUAUGACUAUUUUAAUAGCGCGAUGUGGCCAACGUUUUAAGUUCAACGGUGUAGAAGUAUCCAAAUUAGAUAAAAAUUUAAUAGAAAAUUCAACUUAACAUCAAUAGCAAGAUGAAUACUUUCAAUUUAAAAUUUGAGUCAUUUAUCACUAUUUUUUAUGAGAUUUUUAUUUUCAGCCGUUCAUUUUAAAACUACUCGUUCACUAGACAAACGAAGCCAAAAAAUUAUGAAAUUUGGUUUCUAGAUAGUUCCAAUAGCGUAGAUCAUGUUUAACGGAAUCGAUCGUUGAAUCGGAAAUCCUAUCAUCGAAAACGAUUUAUAAGUACGGAGGCCUCCGUACUUUCGAAAGCAUAGGAGCCUAGCUNGAGCCUCUCUCUCUCUCUCUCUCUCUCUCUCUAUAUAAUAAUAAUACUAAUAAUAAUAAUAAUAAAUAUUAUGUAUUGUAAUUAAAUGUAUAUAGAGUUUAGGUAAAACCAAACCAAUAAAAUCUUACUCUAGUUGCUCUCUAUUUUCAUUUGCUCGCAGAGUGGUUUCCCCUAUUUCUUUAAUAUUAUAAUAUCGUAUCUCAUACAUUUUAUUUUGUAUAUUGAAUUAUUAGACAUUUUUUUAAUCAAAUUUUAGAUAAUAUUUUAUAAAAAUUAAACUAUAGAUUACACGAUGUUAAGAAUUACAAGCGGCUCGUUUAGGGCUAGAGCUCGCUCGACUCGAAGUUAGGCUCGCUCAAGCUCGGCUCGAAUUGAUUUCAAGUCGAAUUUGAGCUUAAAUUUAGAUUCUCAACUCGAAGUUAGGCUCGCUCGAGCUCAGCUCAAAUUAAUUUCGAGCCGAGCUUAAGCUUAAAUUUAAAUUCGAAAUUAAUUUCAAGCCAAGCUUGAAACUGAGAUAAGCUCGCUCAGGCUCGCCUCAUUUCCACCCCUAUUGGUGAAUGGAUUCGAUGCAUGGGACUUUGAAACAUUAAUUUGGUGCAUUAAAUGAGGAUUAGCUCUUCCAUGCAACGUAGUGUUUGGCACGUUAAUGGGAGAAGGGGACCUCUUCUUCAAUGGCACAUUACUCUCUCUCUCUCUCUCUCUUUUGAUUAUAGUACUAAAAUCAAUUCACCAUACUUAGAAGCAAUAUAAAUCCACCAAGGCCUUUGACCAAACAACAUUAUAAAUUCAUCAUAUUUGAAGAUAAGUUACCUACCAACUGAAUGAUUAGCACUGCUAAUAACAACACAAAAAUCUUCGAGCGCAGCAAAUCAUCAAGAUCUUACAAUGAAUCUGAAGCAUGAACAGAAUAGUUCAGAAAAAAAAAAAGAAAAAGAAAAAACACAAGCACAAAUUUCAACACUCAAAAUUGCUCGAAUUACUUCCAUCUUUUGUUUCAUUUUUCCGCUCAGCCGUCGACACAACACCUGAGAACUGAGACGGAUACAACAUUUACUAAUGCUUAUCGCCAAAUUCCCUCCCACAAGAAAGCAAGCACAUGAAUGGUAAUAUGUUUCCAGUUUUGUUUAAUAUGCUCGCAAAUGCCAUCAAGAAAUGCACUCGUCGCUCAAAUAAAUGCAAGCGGGUGAUGCUCCGACUUGUAAAAAAGUGCAUAUUCAGAAUUACAACAUAAAUUUGUACAGAAUGCACGGCACAGCACGGCACGGCAAGAUUCAGGGUUGAUGACCACCUUCCAUCAUGAUUAUGAAUUUACGGUUUCUGCUCAGAGCUGUUGCUUCUGGCUUGGCUGUUCUGCUUGGUGUUAGCCAGGCGCGGCCUUAGCUGCAAGAAAUCCAAUGCAAUUUUAAUACGACGAACAUUUGUGCACAAAUAACUACCGAGAUGGUCUAGAAACUCUCUUAGAUAUAACUCAAAAUGUCAAGUAAAUAACAGCACAUUGAUAACAUGAGAUAUCUCCAAAGAGAGUAUCAAAUCAUAGAAUGCCACCAAAAGAAAAACAUUUUCUAUUUCUUAGUCUUCCUGUCGACAAUGAGAUGUGAAACUAUUAAGUACGAACAAACUACAAUGGUUUCUUGUUAAAUAUUUUGUUCCUAAAAUCUUUCACAUUGUGUAUCUCAUUAUUUACAUCGUUGUGCCACAAUUAACCCUCAGUUACGCAUCUUUGUCCCUCAGGUUAAGUUUAAUGAGUUCAAGGAGUAUUCCCCUAACGACAUUUGCUCCUCAACAACAAAUUAAUAUUAGGACAUUCCACGUCUGAGGCCCUACCUAAUGGAUCACAGAUACCGUUCGAAGCAUCUUCCUGAAAACUUAAACACGCCUGUCUCUCUUAAUUUCUAACUAUUUAGGACUCUUCAAAGGCAUAGGAUUGCCACUGCAUGGAAAUAGAACUCAAUAUAGGAGCUAAUUUCCUUUAAAUUAGCAAUUUGGAACUUCCAGUUUUUCCAUAAGACUUUUUUUCAGACUAAGGUAUUAGUGUUAUUAGAGGACAUACAGAUCGCUUUGAGGAGAGGAGCGUAAAAGGAAAAAUGGGAUUGGAAGAGUGGUGAUUUAGGGACGAAUAAGAACCCUAGGGGCAAAGUGGACAUUUUGCUUCUCCAACUUACACGGUUUAAAGGAUUUGACAGAAGGAUCAAUAUGCACAAAGGAAAAUGUUUUCAAGGACAAUCAUGCAAACAACAAUUUUCCAGAGAUUUACAUGCAUUAUUAAACAAUUUUAGGGAGGACUAAGUGACUAAGAUGCCAAAAAAGUAAAAGACAUUUCUCAAAUUGAAAGUUACAAGUAAUCGAAGUUUCACAACGAGCUGCUUGACUUACCAUCUCUAUGUACUUUAGAUGCUUGAGGACAACUUCAGUUUCAACCUCCUACAAUGAAAUGCAAGAACGUAUUAGGAAAGAAACAUAGUAAAAAAGUAUUAACAUGCUCACGUGUAAUCAAAAGCACAAAUACAAGAAAAAUAUAUAACAAAGUACGAGCACUAGAAAUCACAUGAGAUUUAAAAAAGAAAGCAGCUAAAACAAUAAAAAAGUAGACAUUGUACUUCCUGUCUUCUGAUGGAAAACAUUAAACUCCAAAGCAAGUAGAAUUCAAGGCUUAAGCUGUCUACAUAACAAAACAACUGAAGUCACAACAUAAAUCUCACGGAGCCUAUGGACCCAUACAAGAUGUCUCUUAAACUUUAGUUUAAUUCAUCUCGGAGUUACUUAGAUCCUACAGGACCGCCAAAUAUGAGAAUAAUCAGUUCACAAUUAACUGCCAGUAAUAACUGAAGUGCAAUUGAAAAAGAAUGAAGAAGAAAUUCCGUGCUGCUAGACAGCUUAAAUUGCUUCAAAAUUCUUUUCGACAAAAAUGUUUGAAUGGAUUUAACUAACUUUACACAUCCCCUAAAAGAUCCCAUGCUUCAUUGCCCUUACUUUGAGGUAAUCUCAAGGCAUCUCCACAACUCAACCCAGUAGACUCAAUAAGUUGUUGACUAACUUCACAAGUCACAAUUACUUUCCUGGCAACACCAGAGUUCUUCUUAAAUUAUUACAAUCCCUUUUGACAUUUAAAAUACUUGUAUCAAGAGACGUGUCAGAGGAGUGGAUAUAACAUAAACGUGCAGAAAGAACUGUAUUCCCCCAUGUAUUACGAUAAUGCCUUAUGUUAGGUUUUAAGUGUGCAGGAAAAUCAGGAUGAUGAACUAACUUACGAAAGCAUGGAUUCUUGUACUACAUAUGCCACUAGGCACGGAACAAAAAUAUAUUUCACAUGGGCGCAUCAUCUUCAAUAUUACCCCUGGCACUUAGUACUAUCUAUUUCCUUCCAGUUCUUUAGUUUUCUUGUAUAAGAUAAGCUUAGAUGGUCCUGAAAUUUCAUGCUAUUAUUUUCCCUGUUGGAAACAAGUCCCGCCUUCUUUCGCAUUCAAAAGACCUAAAAUUGCCGAGUACCAGGCAUACCACAGUAUGUAGCAUGCCAGCCAAUCAAUGGCAUGCACCCAUGCACGUCAUAGCAAACAUCAUAUACACAUUCACAUAAGUAUCUACCAGUGGUACACCUUUACCUUGGGCAAAAUGGAAUAGUUAGAUUACAUUUAGGAAAUAUGAAGAAAAUUCAACAGGAGAAAAACGUCCAAGUUAUCGCUUAACUCCUAAAGCCAACUAUCAGCUGCAAUGCUUCCCUACUGCCCUACGUAAGUACACAGAGCACUUAAUUAACAUUGAUCAGGGAAGUACACCCUUUAAUGAACAACAAGAGCAGAUGGUGCCUGAUGAAUUACAACCCAGAAGGGUUGCUAUAGAAAAAUCUACAGAUUCCAACGUUUCGAGAAACAAAGACAAGGAGAAAGCAAUGCAUUACUUAAUAAAAAUUGCCAAAAGUAUGAAACAAGAAAACUCUUGAAAAGUUUCUAGAGAUAGAAAAGAAGCCAAGCAAUGUGGUCUAGGAUAGAGUACUCUUUCGUAUAUAUUUUUUCGUAUAUAUUUUCUUUUAUACUGCAGAACUAGUAAAUAUCAGGUAUCAAUCAUGUCGUAACACACAAGACAUGAGGCAUGUCACACCAAUUGCGCUACACAGCAGGGAAUCAGAGACGUAGGAUGUGCAAACACUAGUGGUUAAAGCUUUCAUUAACAGUCAACAAUUCUGCUUAUAAAAAUUAACACAUCACUAAUUGCAAUAUAAUAACAAUAGUACCAUUUGUUCAGAUAUAUGUAAGACAAACUGAUAGAAACUGUCCAAUGAAUUAACUUGUGAUGACCAUAUUACAGCAUGAGACCAGAUAACAGCAUAUUGUUAGAACCAGUAGAACAUGUUAUUUUGAAAGUUGCAUUCAAAAUAUCAGCACAACUAAUAUGUAGCAUUACCUGAGGGACUGCACAAUCAGCAUGAAAUGGAUCCCAAGGCAAAGCACAGGAACAGUCCCAUUCAUCAGUUUGAACUACGAAAAGAGGAGCCCUAAGAAAAUGAUGUAACGUAGUUAGGUAAGAUGAGCAAUAAAGCAUGACACAUAAUUAACUUAAAAGUGAAAAGCAGCUCUUUUAUUUGAAAAGCUAACAAUGAUUAAUGCCAUCUAGUGCAUGGCUUAUGCUAUAUUUUACCUGCGCCACUUCCCACAUAUAGUUCCCUCAUUGCUGUCACUUGUAUAUAAGACGUCUUGACAUUGAAUCCAAUUACCAAUAGAUGUUGUUUUUUGUGGCUUAUAAUUAUUCCAACACUGAGGAAAAUUAUUUUUUGUAAAGAAAGUCAAUACUAGCUGGAAGCACAAACAUUUAUGUAGAAUAACUGAAAGAUAUAUUUUGUUAUUCUUACAUCCAGACUAGCACAUUCGGGUGAAUCCAGGAGGGAGAAUUCUAGAACAGAAUCGGAAUCACUGCAUUAAAUGUAUAAGAAAACAUCAAUAAGAGAAGUCACUUAAUGCGAGAAGUUCAAAUAUAUAAGAAAACAAAAGCUAAUAAAAGCCAUCUAUAUGCCAAUAACAGUUUCUCUUUAAGGACUUACUGGUCAUAGUUGAUUCAAAAGCCGUUAUGAAAUGAACAUAAAAAAUGGACAAAAAGGAAAGAAGCUUUGAAUGAAGAAGUCAUUAAUCAUUAUCUGCUCAUGCAUAAAUAAUAGGUUGAUAGCAUUGAUUGGAGUCAUGAAAGAAUCUGCUUGCCACAACCAUUAUUGUCAGAGCCACCAUAUCUCUUUCGAGCUUUGCCGAUCCUAACUUAUCGAGAAAAAACUCUAAACGAUAAUUUGAGCUUCUUCAGAAUUGUUAUAUAUAAUAGGUAAGCACAUACGGGACGAACCUGAACUAUGGCCUAUUUUGGGACAAUUAUCCAACCUUAAGUGAGUUUCGAGUUGGCUUUCUCAUUUCAAUUCGUUUGGUACGAGCCAUUAAAUGGCUCUUCUGUAAUAUAAUUUGGGCAUGCCAUCUGCUUUAGCGGACUUCAUUAUAGUAUAGCAUGUGACUCCAUCCCGUUAAAACAUAUGACACGUAGAAAUUUUGCAACAAAGAGCGAUCAAAUUAAUUGAAAGGCUAGGUAGAAAAAUCAAAUUCUUAAAGGUUGGAUAGUCAUCACAAAAUGUGUCAUAGUUCAAGUCAGUUGUUGACUCAGAUAUGUUAUACCUAAAUAAAACUAUUGCCUAUCCAUAGCAUUUAAGGCCUUCCGCUUUCUAUGUAUAUUCCCCCAUAGAUAGUUUUUCCGUGCAAUCUCCUAAUGGGUUUCAUUCAGAAAGGGUAAAGACGCUGGAACUAAUGUAACUUUGGGUCAUUUGGAACAACUUCCAGCAUUCAAAAAUUUUGAUUUAACUAUUUGAUCUUUUGAUUUGUUUGAAUUGCCUCCUGAGAAAUUAUUGCCUGCAUGUGGAGCAUCCAUACAUUUGCCCAUCAAGUAUACAUCUAUCGUUGAUGCAUCUCUGGCUUUUAAUCCAGCCAUUCAAUUAUUAAAUAUAGAAAACUACAACUCAUUGAAAUGAGGUUAGGCAUCAAAUGGGCAUCAAAUGGGCAUCAAAUUGGCUGGAUGCUGAUGAAGGUUUGGUACACAUGUAUGGAUCACUUUGUGCAGGAAAUAGUUUCUUAGAGCUCCAAAUCAAACAAAUUGAAAGGUUAGGUAGUAAAGUAAAAAUUUUCCACAGUUGAGUAGUUCUUUCAAAAUCCCAAAGUUCAUGUUAGUGACGUGUGUUUUUUACCUUCUUAAAUUUCCUUUGCACAUGUGCAAAGCAAUCAAAUUCCAAGUACCUCUUUAAUCUACCUUUGCAAUCGCAGCUGGGUAGUUUCAUUACUCCAAAAGCUCAUUCCUUAGUCUACCGGUAUGAAAUUGAUUUUAUGCUAAAGAUUGUCCCCUAGAACCAAAAAGUCUCACCUCAAAAAAAGUCCCGUGAGGCAGUUUCUAAUAUUUAAAUCAGUUUAAACUGACAAAAACUAACAAUUAUGACAAAUAAAAGAAAAAUAAAAACAAGGCAAAGCAACAAUUUUUGGUGCAUUUAGCGAUAUGGAUAUAUUGCUUUAGCCAAAAUUGUUUCACAAUUUGGUGGUUUGGGAGUGAAUAUUUAGUUUUCAAGGUAGUUUAAGUCUACAGAUCCAUGGUAAAAUCAAGUCUAGAAGGACUGUUAAAAAUCAAAUCUGAUGAUCAGAAGUCCAAAAUAUUGAAGCAUAGGGUAUGUCCACCCUAGUUAUGACUUAAAUAACACAGAUACUAUCAAUCUCCUUGUAUUCUAGAAGAUACUAUUGAGCUUGGGGUGAAAUCUCCAUUUUUGCAAUAAAACUAUGGGGCCUAAAAGCCCUUUCAGCUUUCUGCUAGAACAAAAGCUUCAAUAUCUAUUAGCCAAAAUAUGGUUUUCGAAAACUACUUUCUAGAGUAGAGAGUUAUUCUGCAAGCCAAGCUAAACAGGCAAUUAGACUAUGAAAUAAGCUACUGAUGAAGUUUAAAAAUAAAAAGGAAAGGUCCACCAAUGCUAACUAUCACAAAACAUAGAUUGAAAUUUGCAAAGCAGAAAGAGAGGAAAUGACAGGACAUACUCAGCAAUUGGACCGGACCAUGCAGGAACUUCUACUUGGAAAGCUUUACCGAUUCGAACACGGGAUAUAUGAGGCCGGCUAUCUCUCAACAUGGCUAAAAGCGGACCCAAAUCCCCAUAAGACACAUUUUUUUCUUCCUCGGGAGUUGUGCCUGUGAUACAGGAUGAAACUGUUUCUUUACUUCUAGAACACGGUUGACAGUACCACUCAACAUUUCGUAACUUCUUGACUCUUGGGCUGCAGCAAGUGACAUGAAAUGCUUCCUCACAAAGGUCACAAAUUAACAUCUUCAAUGGAUUUUCUGAAUGACCACAAGUUUUGCAUUUUAAAAAUGAAUUUGGGUCGUCGCUUCCAAGAAAUUCUAAAGAAGCCAAUUCCUUUUUUUCACAUACACUGCCGAGCAAGCCAUGAUUUUUAAGUACUGAGAUGCAUAAUUCUCUCUCUGAAAUGAGCUCAUCCAACACUAAAUUAGCAAUAGCAUUUCCAGAAGAGGAGCACUCGCCAGUAUCCUUCACCCCAUUGUUACAUGAAGAAACAUUGGUAUUAUCUUUUGGUGAUAGGUACCUUUCAUUUUUCCCACAUUUACCUUCUACAGCAGAACAUCCAUCCUUAUCAUUAUUAGCCCUCACUGCUGAAUUUUGGUCUUUGGAAGUUAUUCUCGAAUAAUAGGCACCACUUUCUUUAGAAAAUCCGUCUGUAUUUUCUUCCGAUAAAAGGGCAACACCGUUAUACUGCAAUUUCCUUCUUUUGUAGACAAAGCCAUCCCUCUUAGGCAGUGGACUUGAUAUAUCAGAACAUGUCGACAAUUCAAGAACCUUGCAUUUAAGUAAUUGGUUUUCUUCUGUUCUAUGAUCAAGACAUUCUCUGCAGCUCUCUGAAGGGCAUUCCUCACAGCUCGAGCACAACUGCCAAGUUUUAGUAAAGUGUGGCCAAUCGUAAGAUGAAUCCAUGUUCUCUUGUUUCGUAAUGGACAACGUUGUGCUCAGAGAAUCAGGAAGAGUGCUUUCGAUCAACAUGUCACCUGAACAGAUGUCUAGCCUAGUCACCUGAACAGAUGGACAACGUUGUACUUAUUGCACGUUGAAAGGCAUAUGCUCACAUAGGCAAAUUAUAAACCUUGAUCUUGAGAAUAAACAUCCUGGAAGGAAAAACAACUACCAAAAUGAAAAUGAGUCUCGAUAAAAAGAACGUGGAGUCCAAAUAUGCAAGUGAUUAGCAAAGAUAAACAUGAAUAAUGGACUAAAUGGCCAAGAAAGAGAAGUAACAAUAGGAAACAAGUACUGCGACAAUAUUUUUUUCACGCACCUACUUUUAGGUCAUU
RNAcentral lists this long non-coding RNA (76249 nucleotides) under Ananas comosus (pineapple). RNAcentral describes it as "long non-coding RNA (ACOM_LNC009757)". Lineage: Eukaryota; Viridiplantae; Streptophyta; Magnoliopsida; Poales; Bromeliaceae. The record is from RNAcentral.